Molecule: long non-coding RNA, 53092 nt
Filed under: Capsicum annuum
Lineage: Eukaryota; Viridiplantae; Streptophyta; Magnoliopsida; Solanales; Solanaceae
Description: long non-coding RNA (CANN_LNC007128)
Source: RNAcentral
UUUCUUUAAGUAGCAAGACUUGUCCAAGGUAUUGUAAGUGAAUUUACCAUGUCAAACUAUAAACCAAUAUGUCAUCGAAGAAAACCAAUACAAAGUUAUGGAAAUAUAGCCUGAAUAUAUCAUUCAUAGUGACUUAAAUGGUUGAUGUCAUAUUAGAAAAUCCUAGAAGCAUCACCAUAAAUUUUUAAUGGUUAUUAUGUAUUCAAAAGGUUAUUUUGGGAUCAUCAGCAGCUUUAACCGUUAUCAGAUGGUAGCCAAAGGGCAAAUAUAACUUUUAAAAAUGACAAGCAUCGUGUAGCUCAUCAAAACCUCCAAGUCUCAUCCUUCUUGUUUACCAACAAUAGAGAGGAAAAAAAUGGACUAGUGUUGGGAUGAAUUGCCCCUUCCUUUAGCAAAUUAGAAAUAAGUUUCUCCAUGAUUUGUUUAUAAUAAUAAGGAUAAUAAUAUGGCUCACAGGACCAGAAUUCGCCUGAAGGGGAAUAGCAUGGUCCUGCGAUUGAACUGAUGGUAAUACUUGAGGCUUCUAAAAAGCAUCUUUAAAGCUGGUUAAGACUGAUUAAUGAUCUAAACGAUGAUCAAAAUUGAUAGUGCUUCCAUUUUGCACAAUCAUUAAGCAAUAAUAAGAGGAUAUAGAAUCUGUCACGGAGUACCAAUGUAAUGUUUGAAGUUGCAAAGGUUGUGCAUUCGUGGGAGGUUCACCAAACCACCGGAUCCCUCUAUCACCCAAUGUGAAUUCAAAAAUCUGUGCUCUAUAAUCAAUUAUAUUUGGUCCUAGAGUGACCAACCAUGAAUUUCCCAACACAAUAUAUGCACCAUGUAUUGGUAGGACAAAAAAGUCCAAAGUGAGCUCCACGCCUGAUACUGUUGAGGAAACCCCUUAAGCAAUUCCCUCAUUGUAGUAACAAUGGCCACUUUCUAACAUCACAUAAAAUGUUAGAAGUUUGUGUAAUCUUGAGAUUGAGGAAUUUUGCAACACGAGAUUACACCAACUAAUGGAUGUUCCAACUAUCAAAAGGACCUAAAUUGGUGAUUCUCAAACAAGCCCUAAAAUUCUCAGAGUUGUUUUAGAGUGACCUCCAUCCAAAGCGUGGUAGGUGACGGUAGCGAGUGUCUCUAGAUAUAAGGUUUUGGAGAACAUUAGUGAUAAAAUCCUUAGGUAAGAAAGUUUUAAGCAACUGAAAGAUAAAGUCAGUCUCAUCCUCCAAAAGUAGAAGUUGUGGAAGAACUCUACAUUUGUGGGCUGGAAUGUAUUUUUCAUCAUGAUGAUAACACAAACCUUUCUUUCAUUGAUAUUGUAGCUCUUUUCUCGUGAGACAUUUGAAGGGAAGUUUUCUGGUCAAAUUCUGACUGAAUUUGUUGAACUGAAUAAUAGGCAAAGGUAAAAAGGGUUGGGUCUUUCUAGUUUAGGCCCCCAUUCUUGUAACGAACCGGGGUUACCCCUAGUCGUCACACGGUGCUUAUGGUCCCAAGGGAUCACAAGCUAAUCCAUGAGCUGGUACUUGCUGUGAGCACUGAAUAAUAACAUCAUAAAUGCAGAAAAAUACUGACAUUUCUAUAAGGUUUUAAUAACUAAAUUCAAUACUGGAAUAUAAAUCUAUAGAAAAUAAUUGUCUAUAUUGGAGAAAAAUACUGAGAAACUAACAUGUCAACUGGAAAUCUGAAUACUAAAUAACUGACUCAAAUGUCUUAAAAGCCUCUAAGACUGACUGACUGAGAGUUAAUGGGACAGGCCCCCAACUAACUGUACUAACUACUGAGAUAAAGACAUGAAGUAAUAUAAUCUGUCUUCGGAUGAUAAGGACUCACCACCACUACUGUACUACUGAUGAUCUGAAGGAGAAAGUGCAAUCUAGUAACUGAGCUUUGGCACCUAUGAUAUGAUACAUCAUAGCGCAAAAGAAAGGUAUACAAUCAGUACUUUGAAUGUACUGGUAUGAUAAAUGAGGUAGGCUGAUAUGCAUAGUUUCAUAAAUGGGAAUAAUAAUUACUAACUGAUUAUACAUGUAAAACAUAGAGUACUGAGUAGAGAACAUAAAAUCCAUAGGUACUAUGUGAAGCAUAUAAAUACUGUGUAUGCAUGAAAAUCUAUAAAUUCUGAAGAUACGUGAAAAUCUAUAGACACUGAGGAUGCAUGACCAAGCAUAUAUCAAGAACUGAGUAAAGUCUGUAAAUUGAGAUACUGAAAGGACUGACAUCUGUAUGCCUUGGCCAAACAACACUAACACUGAGUAACUGAAUAGGGACUAUGACUGAGACUGUAUUUGAGACUGUGGGAGGUAUCAUCUAACCGACAUGCCCCAAUCUGAGCUAAUCAGGGUCCGUCCAGGAACCCCAGUUAGAUGGGUGUUAAUACUAUGCCACGGGUACUAACAUUGGUUGUGUGGAUCCACUAAACUGAUAUAAUGUCCAAAGGACUAAGGGAGUCAAGCCUAAACUGACGGAUGACCCCAGCGAGAUAUUCAAUCCUAAUCUGACGGGUGACUACUCAUAUCCUAUGCUGACUAUGUAGUCCUGAAGUAUAGGGACUGCUACUAACGACUCUACCUAUCUGACAGGGAAGCCACCAUCCCUGCACUCGCUCGGUGCUAAAUCCUACUCCCAAUUGAAAGACACAGAGAUACUAGACUGUUCUGAGUUUAAUGACUGAUAUCUGACUAUUCUGAUAAUGAUCAUAGUAUAAUCUGAAGACUAUUUUGUAAUGUACUGAGACUAGACUAAACAAAUAGCUAUGGUUUUUGGGUAUUCAAUACCCCCAGGACUCAAAACAACAAUACUGAAAAGACACUAAAGCUUAGGGGACAAAGCAUGAAGGUUUUUAUUAAAUCAAUCACUCUUGUAGACAUUUUAUCAAACACUUGUAGUUCAUGGUUCAAAUAAAUCAUAGGAAUGUCCUAAAACAUAUAGAAAAAGCAUAAAUCCGACAUAAUAGAGUUAAAUCAUGGUUUUGUUCAAUAAAUAAUAAUAUUAAAAUAUAGAGGAUUGAAUAAUAACAAUAAUUUCAUGGUAACAUGGUAUAAAAUCAUAGUUCAUGGAGAUUCAUGGGUGAAAUCACAAUUUAAAACAUAAUAACUUGAAAAGAUCAUAAUUUUAUAAUUUUAAAGGGUUGCUUAGACUCCAUGGAUGAAAGGGAUCCAUGGGUGAACAUCUAACAUACCUUAAUGGAUGAACUUCUUGAAGUUCUUUGUGAGUUCUUGAGGAUUGGCCUUGAAAUUGGAGAGCUAGGGUUCUUCAUUUGGGAGAGAAAGCUUCUUGAUUUGGGGGAAAAUAAUUAAAAUAAUGAGUUAAAAAUAUUUUUAGGGCUUAAAAGUACACCUGGGCGAAUUAAAAUUAGGAAAUAUGACCGUUUUACCCCUGAGCAAAACUUUUAAUUUUCGUCAAUUUUUUUAAAUGGGAACUUGGCGCGAUGCGGCGCUAUCGCGCCAUGUCACUGGAAACUGACAACUGGGAACUGCGCCAACGGCGCAAUGCGCCAUUAUCGUGGCAAACCUUUGGAUGUCAUUUUGGCCACCUCCACGAUGCGCCAACAUCGCAGAGGCCCACUGAAAAUUGACAAAAGAAAGAUUGGCCUGCUCCACAAUGCGCCAUAACCGUAGAGUCACGCUAGAAAUUGACAAUUGUCAUUAAGGUUGCCUACGCGACAUACUAAGGGUUAAAAUGACGGUGUUUAAAGACUGAAACUUUAAAUCACCAUAACAUCUUACCCGGUUAUCGGAUUUAGGCAAAUUUUAUAUCGUUGGAAAGCUAGUUCAAUUUCCUAUGCAAUGGUAGGCUCUAAACUAAAAAACAAUGAGUGUUUCAAAAAUUUUAUAUAUGAAUACUUAUGUAUUGGGACUUAGAUUAUGCUAGUGAAAUACAAGGUGUUACAACAUCUCCCCCUUGGGAUCAUUCAUCCUCGAAUGAAACUGGUUAAGCUGAGGAAAAUGAUGGACUGAGCUUACACACUGAAUAUGCAUGUCUGAUGCAUAGAAUGCAUGACUGAACUGAUUCAUGAAUGCAAGAUUAACAUGAACAUGAUGUGUGGCUGAAACUGAGAAUGAUAGAGAAAAAAUUUAAGAAGAUUGGUACCUUACACUGAAUCUGGAUACUCGGAGAAAAGAUGAGGGUACUUGAUCCACAUAUCUGCUUCUUCUUCCCAAGUGGCUCCCUCAACAAACUGAUUUCACCAAAGAACUUUGACUAGUGGAACUUCUUUGUUUCUUAAUCUACGAACUUGAUGAUCAAGAAUUUCGGAUGGAACUUCCUCAUAGGAAAGACUAUUCUGAAUAUCUACACUUUCUAAGGGAACAACUAUAGCUAUAUCACCAAUAUACUUUUUCAACAACGAGACAUGAAACACUAGGUGUAUUGAGGCUAGAUCUGAAGGCAACUCAAGCUCAUAAGCUACCUUUCUAGAGUGACUGAGAAUUCUUAAAGGACCGACAUAUCGGGGAUUGAUUUUCUCUUUUUUACCGAAUCUCUUCACUCCCUUCAUGGAAGAGAUUUUCAAGUACACAAAAUCCUUGACCUCAAACUCGAGAUCCUUUCUCCUCACAUCUACAUAUGAUUUCUGUUGUGACUGGGAAGCCCUAAGACUUUCUCGGAUCAACUGAACCUUCUCGAAGGCAUCAAACACCAAGUCAGGACCUACUACUGCAACCUCACCUACUUCAUACCAACCAAUUAGAAAUCUACAUCUCCUACCAUAGAGAGCCUCAAAUGGAGCCAUACGGAUACUGGAAUAAUAGUUGUUAUUGUAUGCGAUCUCAAUCAAAGGCAAGUGGUCAUCCCAACUACCUCUAAAAUUAAUCGCAUAUACUCUCAGUAUAUCCUCAAGAGUCUGAAUGGUCCUUUCUGCUUGACCGUCUGUCUGAUGGUGAAAAGUGGUACUGAGGUGGAUUUGGGUACCAAGACCCUUUUAGAAUGCUUUCCAAAAGUGAGAGGAAAACUCAGUGCCUCUAUCUGAGAUGAUAGAUAAGGGAACGCCGUGCGCCCUAACCAAUUCUCUGAGAUAGAGUUUGGUAUAGUCCUCAAUUGAAUAAGAGAUAUGGAUUGGAAAGAAAUAAGUUGAUUCGGUCAUCCUGUCUACGAUAACCCAAAUAGAAUCAUGUUGAUGACGGGUACGAGGCAAACUUAUCACAAAAUCCAUGUUCACUUCCUCCCAUUUCCACAUGGGAAUACUGAACUCCUGCAUGGACCCACUAGGCUUCUAGUGCUCAACCUUAAUUUGCUGACAUGUAGAGCACUUAGCUACAAACUCUAUAAUAUCUUUCUUUAUCCCACUCCACCAAUAGAUCUCCUGCAAAUCGUGGUACAUCUUAGUGGCCCCUAGAUGAAUAGAGUAACGCACACCAUGCGCUUCUACAAAAAUUCGUUUCCUUAAAUCAUCUACACCAGGCACACACAAUCUACCCUGAUAGUGCAACACAUCAUGUCCUCCUUAGGAGAAAACCUCUACUUUCUGAUCUCUGACCGAUUUCUUCAACUUAACUAGACUGGGAUCUCUAUCCUACUUUUCCUUUACCUCGAAAAAUAGAGAUGAUUCUGAGCUACUCUGCACCCACACACUACUCUCUGCUGAGUCGACUAAGUGGACACCUAGUCGGGCAAGCUGAUGAACUUCAUGAGCUAACUUCUUCUUACCAUCCUCAAUGUGGGAAACACUACCCAUAGACAAUCUACUGAGAGCAUCAGCCACUAGAUUGGCCUUACUCAGAUGAUACAGAACACUCAAGUCAUAAUUUUUCAAUAACUCUAACCACCUUCUCUAACGUAAAUUCAAAUCUUUCUGAGAGAACACAUACUGGAGGCUUUUAUGAUUUGUGAACACAUCUACAUGCACUCCAUACAAUUAAUGCCUCCAAAUAUUUAAGGCGAAUACUACUGCUAGCUCAAGUUCAUGGGUCGGAUAAUUCUUUUCAUGAGGGUAAAGUUGUCUGGAGGCAUAGGCUAUGACCUUACCUCUCUGCAUAAGGACACAACCCAAACCUACUUUAGAUUUAUCGCAGUACAUAAAAAACCCAUCGAAACCAUCUGGUAGAGUAAGAACUGAGGGCUGAGGUGAGUCGAGUCUUCAACUCCUGAAAACUCUUUUAGCAUGAAUCUGACCACUGAAACUUAACUUUCUUCUAAGUCAAUAUGGACAUGGGGGUGCAAUAGAAGAAAACCCUUCAAUAAACCGACGGUAAUAGCCAGCUAAACCCAAGAAACUCCAAAUAUCUGACGGAGAGAUGGAGAAACUUUUCCUAAACGCCUUGUAGCCUCUUGUCCAUAAGUGGCGUGCUACACACCCAUACACAAGACUCUACUCGAUGCGGUUUUAGACUUCCUAGGACACUUUAAAACCUUAGGCUCUGAUACUAAGUUUGUAAUGACCCGGGACUACCCCCUAGUUGUCACACGGUGCUUAAGGUCCCGAAGGACCACAAGCUAACCCAUGAGCUGGUACCUGCUAUGAGCACUGAAUAACAACAUCAUAAAUGCAGAAAAAUACUGACAUUGCCAUAAGGUUUUAAUAACUGAAUUCAAUAUUGGAAUAUAAAUCUAUAGAAUAACUAUCCACAUUAGAAAAAAAUAAUGAGAAACUAACAUGUCAACUGUAAAUCUGAAUACUGAAUAACUGACUCAAAUGUCUAAAAUUUCUCUAAGACUGACUGACUGAGAGUUGAUGGGAUAAGCCCAUAACUAACUCUACUAACUACUGAGAUAAAUACAUGAAGUAAUAUAAUCUGUCCUCGAAUGAUGAAGACUCACCACUGCUAAUGUACUGCUGAUGAUCUGAAGGACUAAGUGCGAUCUGAGAACUGAGCGUCAGCACCUAUGAUAUAAUACAUCAUAGCGCAAAAGAAAGGUAUGCGAUCAGUACUUUGAAUGUACUGGUAUGAUAAAUGAGGUAAGCUGAUAUGCAUGGUUUCAUGAAUAGGAAUAAUAAUUACUAACUGAUUAUACAUGUAAAACAUAGGGUACUGAGUAGAGAACAUAAAAUCCAUAGGUACUGAAAAUAUAUGAAGCAUAUAAAUACUAUGUAUGCAUAAAAAUUUGUAAAUACUGAAGAUACAUGAAAAUCUAUAGACAUUGAGGAUGCAUGACCAAGCAUAUAACAAGAACUAAGUAAAGUCUGUAAACUGAGAUACUGAAAUGACUGACAUCUGUAUGCUUUGGCCAAACAACACUAAGACUGAAUAACUGAACAGCGACUAUGAUUGAGACUGUAUCUGAGACUGUGGGAGGAGCUAUCAUCUAAUCGACAUUCCCCUAUCUAAGCUAAUCGGAGUCUACUCUAUAACCCCAGUUGGAUGGGUGUUAAUACCGUGCCACAGGUACUAACAUUGGUUGUGUGGAUCCACUAAACUGAUAUAAUGUCCAAAGGACUAAGGGUGUCAAGCCUGAACUGACGGGUGACCCCUGCGAGAUAGUCAAUCCUAAUCUGACAGGUAACUAAUCAUAUAAUAUGUUGGCUACGUAGUUCUGGAGUAUAGGGACUGCUACUAAUGACUCUCCCUAUCUGACGGGGAAGCUGCCAUCCCUACACUCGCUCGGUGCUAAAUACUACUCCCAACUGAAAGACACUGAGAUACUAGCUUGUUAUGAGUUUAAUGACUGAUAUCUGACUAUUCCGAUAAUGCUUACAAUAUAAUCUAAAGACUAUUCUGUAAUGUACUAAAAAUAGACUAAAUAAACAGUUAUAGUUUUUGGGUAUUCAAUACCUCCAGGACUCAAAACAACAAUAAUGAAAAGACGCUAAAGCUUAGGGGACAAAACAUGAAGGUUUUUAUUAAAUCAAUCACUCUUGUAGGCAUUUUAUCUAACACUUGUAGUUCAUGGUUCAAAACAAUCAUAGAAAUGUCCUAAAACAUAUAGAAAUAGCAUAAAUCUAACAUAAUAGAGUUAAAUAAGGGUUUUGUUCAAUAACUAAUAAUAUUAAAACAUGGAGGAUUGAAUAAUAACAAUAAUUUCAUGGUAACAUGGUAUAAAAUCAUAGUUCAUGGAGAUUCAUGGGUGAAAUCACAAUGUAAAACAUAAUAACAUGAAAAGAUAACAAUUUUAUAAUUUUAAAGGGUUGCUUGGACUCCAUGGAUGAAAAGGAUCCUUGGAUGAACAUCUAACAUACCUUAAUGGAUGAACUUCUUGAAGUUCUUUGUGAGUUUUUGAGGAUUGGCCUUGAAAUUGGAGAGCUAGGGUUCUUCAUUUGGGAGAAAAAGCUUCUUGAUUUGGGGGAAAAUAAUUAAAAUAAUGAGUUUAAAAAUAUUUUAGCCAUUUGGAUACCAUUUUGGCCACCUCCGCGACGCGCCAACAUCGCGGAGGCCCACUGGAAAUUGACAAACAAAAAAUUGGCCUUCUCCGCGAUGCGCCAUAAUCGCGGAGUCACACUGGAAAUUGACAAUUGUCAUUUGGGCUGCCUACGUGACGCGUUAAGGAUUAAAAUGAAGGUGUUUAACGGCUGAAACUUUAAAUCGUCAUAACUUCUUAUCCGAUUAUCGAAUUUAGGCGAAUUUUAUAUCUUGGAAAGCUAGUUCAAUUUCCUACGCAAUGGCAGGAUCUAAAUUGAAAAAUAAUGAGUGUUUCAAAAAAAAUUUAUAUGAAUACUCAUGUAUUGAGACUUAGAUUAUGCUAGGGAAAUACGAGGUGUAACAAUUCUAAUAAAAUUUGUUGCUCGUGUAAAUUAGCUAGGGUAAUAGCUGCAUCCAAAGUUUUGGGCUCAUGGGUCAAGAUUACUUUUUCAAUAUUGAUGUAUAGGCCUAAUGUGGAAAAAUAAAGUAUCCAGGCCUCUAGAGUAUUUUUUGUCUCAUUCACAAUCGCCUCAAAUUUAGAUUGGAAGUCUGAUACAGUGGAAACUUGUCGAAGCUUUGAGAGCACUGAUUUUCCAUGCAUCCACUGAUACCACUCAAGUAUCAGUGGGCACUUUAUAUUCUAACUUCAGAAGCGCCUUUAAAGAUUUUCCAUGCAUCCACUGAUACCACUCAAGUGCCUCGCCAUCGAGAUAAAAUAAAGCUAAAUAGAGAUGGUGUUCUGCAACAUACCAUAGAAAGAAAAGUAACAUUAUACCUAAAACAACCAUGCUUCUGGGUUGACACCCUGAAAUCGGCUAAGUUCCACAGAUGUUGGUUUGUUAUAAAGAGAAAUAGGACCACCAACGGAAAAACUCUGAGCCAUCGUCUUCUUCGACGAUGUAAAUCUAGUCGAUUCUGGAGCAUCUGUUGUUAUUCUAGCGCCUAUAUCUCAAAAACGUUCACCAAAACCCCCUGCAUCCGCUUGUUUUUACCAUCUAAAGAGAAACAUAUAUCUGAGAUGUCUUAUGUUAGGAUAUUCUGGCCAUCUUCCAACACUUUCAGUCGAGUAUCCACCAUAGUUCACAGAAUUAAAAGUACCAAAUAGAGCUAAGCAGAUUUUAACCACAAGAAAUAAGUUCAUUCCAAUAGAAUAGUAAUAAGAAAAUUACAAUUGAAAGGAAAAAUUGCAGCAAAAGGAAAAAUAGAUCUAGAAGAGGGAAUGAGAGGCUAGACAAUGGGAAUGGGGAUGAGAGAAUAAUAGACGAUACAUCAACAUCAGACUAGUAUCUCACAUCCUACUUUUUUGCUCCUAUAACUACUUGAUUCCCUUAUCCUUUUCUUACUUUUUCCUAACUCUAAUACAAUCUUUCUUUUACCAUAAUUCAAAUCAUAGUCAUCUAACCUAACAUUUGGCAUUUUACUCCCCUGUCUUCUUCGGGAAAUGUCCCUCAUAAAAUAUGUGUCCACCUCUGCAAGGACCCUGUCGUUCACCAUAUUAACCCUCCCCCUCAAAUAAAUUCAUUGUCCUCAAGGUUUGGGUUACUAGGUGUAGUUGUAUCUAAUAAUAACCGUGGAGUGGCUUGAUGGAUGGUUUUGCCCACACAAUGUUUCAACAUAGAGAUGUAGAACACCGGAUGAAUGCACGCCGCAUAUGAAAGUUGAAGUUCAUAGGCCACAUUGCUAAUACGUUUAAUCACCUUAAAAGGGCCAAAGUAUUUCCUUCCCAAUUUAUGAUCUUUUUGUAAACAAACUGAUUUUGGCAAAUUGGUUUUAGUUUUUUAUACACCUUAUUACUAAGCUCAAAAUGGUCAUCAGUUCAUGCCUUAUUGGCCAACCUUUUCAUUCUCUAUUGAGACCUUGCCAUAUAUGCUUCAAAAUCUCUAGUAUUUCAUCCCUUCGCAGCAUGUAACAUUCAACAAUGUCAUCAUCUGAACUCCCCAGGAUAUAACAAAUCAUGAUAGGGGGUUCUUGUCCAUACAAUGCCUAAAAUGAAGUCAUACCUGCCAAUGACCAAAGGGUCGUAUUGUACCAAAACUCUACCCAUGAAAGCAUGGCUACCCAUUUAUCUGGUGAAUCUGCAACAAAGCACCAGCUAUACAACUCAUGAAUUUGUUGACGGCCUUUGAUUAGUUGUUUAUUUGUGGAAUAUACGUCGUACUCAUUGCUAAAGUUGGGUCUUGCAGUCUGUUAAGUUCCUUCAAGAAGAAUUUUAAAGAUAUGGGGUAACGAUCUGUGACAAUGGACUUCGGUCACAUAACUUGACUAUAUAGCUGAUGAAUGCCUCAGCUACUGAGUAAGCAGAAAAGGAAAAAGGCAUGGUAAUAAAGUCUCCAUACUUGGAUAGACUAUCGACCCUGAUUAUGAUGGUAGAUUUCCUUUUAGAUGUUGGAAGUCACAUGAUGAAAUCCAUUUCCAUUUCUCCUAAAACCAUUUCUGGAACUAGAAGUGGUUGAAGAAGACUGGCAGGACACCAAAAUAUGUCCUCCAAUUGUUGACACAUAUGGCAUGAUGCCACAAACACAUGAAUAUCAUGACGCAUAUGCUGGAAAUAAAAAUUGGAUACAAUGUGAUGAAAGGUUCUAGCAACUCCAGCAUCACCGCCUAUGGGAGAUUCAUGAAAUCCAUGCAUCAAGGUGUUUUUGAGAGAACUAUCAAAUGGAAAAACAAGAUGACCCUUAUAAAUAAUAAUCCUUCCUAAAAAGUAACUCAGGAUACAAAGUGGGGCUUUCGUCCAUACUUCGUUGAAUAGCUAACUGUUAAUAGAACUUUAUUGAAGGGAAGAAAGGCUAAGGUUUACAAUAUAAUCUGAAAAGCAUAAAACUGUCUAAAGCAAGAGUAGGCUAUAUAUACAUAGCCAAUAACCUAAAGGUCCAUAAACUAAAGGCCCAAUAACAUAUGGGCUAACAUCCCCCCUCAAACUCACAAUGCAACAGCAAUAAGCAUUGAGAGUUUGUCACACAAAAAACGAAAUCGAGAUGCCGACUGAGCCUUCGUAAAAAGGUCAGCAAUCUGCAAAGACGAUGGAACAAAAGGAAGCGAUAUGGUCCCGAGCUGUAAAUGAUGACGGGUGAAGUGACAAUCAAUCUCAAUGUGCUUCGUACGCUCAUGGAAGACAGAAUUCUUUGCAAUUUGUACCGCACUUUUGUUAUCACAAUGCAGGGGAGUAGGCAUAGAAAUGUGAACCCCCAUAUCUGCAAGAAGCCAACGUAACCAAAUAAUCUCACAUGUAGUCACAGCCAUAGCACGAUACUCAGCCUCCGUGGAAGAUCUAGAGACAACAUCUUGUUUCUUGCUCUUCCACGAGAUUAAAGAGUCUCCAAGAAACACACAAAAACCAGUGGUGGAUUUACGAUCAUUGCGAUCUCCAUCCCAAUCAGCAUCACUAUAGGCUCGCAACUCGAGAGAUGACGUCGAGGGAAACAAGAGAUUCUGAAACUGAGUGCCACGAAGAUACCUUAGAAUACGAAGUACAGCUCCCCAGUGCACAGAAGUAGGAGCAGUAACAAACUGGCUAACAACAUGAACUGCAUGUGCUAUAUCUGGACGAGUAACCGUAAGAUAAACCAAACUACCCACAAUAGUCCGAUAAAGACUCGGAUCUGAUAAUGGAACACCAUCACUAGGAGAGUAACGUGCAUUGGUUUCAAGGGGAGUAUCUACAGUCCUGUUGUCAGAAAGACGCGCCCGUGUAAACAAGUCAGAUAUAUACUUAGUCUGAGAAAGAAGAUACCCUUUCUUAGACUGAGCCACCUCAAUACCCAGAAAAUAACGCAGCAAGCCCAAGUCCUUCAUUGCAAAUCGAUGAGCCAAAUCAUGCUUCAAUAACUCAAUACCACUAUGAUCAUCACCAGUAAUAAUCAUAUCAUCUACAUAUAAGGACAAUAGAAUUCGCCCUGCACUUGUACAUCUAACAAACAAUGCUGAAUCAUGGUUACUCGGGACAAAUCCAAGGGAAGUAAUAACAGUGGAGAAUUUCUCAAACCAAGCACGAGGGGCUUGUUUGAGACCAUAUAAAGCUUUUCGAAGCCGACAAACUUCACCUGGCUGGUGGUCAAUACCUGGGGGAGGAGUCAUAUAAACUUCCGCGUGGAGAUCACCAUUCAGAAAAGCAUUCUUGACAUCCAUCUGAAAUAUCUUCCACUGUCGAACGGAUGCAACAGCAAUCAUAGUGCGAACAGUCGUCAUCUUUGCUACGGGGGAAAAAGUCUCCUCAUAAUCCAUACCAUAUUGUUGUGAAUACCCUUUUGCCACAAGUCUUGCCUUGUAUCGCUCAACAGACCCAUCAGAUUUUGUUUUUAUCUUAUACACCCAUCGACAACCAAUCGCAUGCUUACCAGGUGGGAGAGUAACCAAAUCCCAUGUAUGUGUAUGAUGAAGAGCAGCAAGUUCCUCAGCCAUAGCAUUCUGCCAAAGAGGAUCAGACACAGCCUCUCUAUACGACUCAGGUUCAGACAAAUGAUGUAUGUUUGCAAUAAAGGAAGCAAAUGAGGCUGAAUAUGUAGAAUAGUAAAAAUCUGGCAGUUUGGUGGACUUACAAGGUCGAGUAGACCUCCUCAGAGGUGGUGGGUCUCCAGUCUCAACAGUCGAAGGAGCAGACUCAGGCACAGGCGAGGCUGAAGCACUAUCAGGUGGCACACCAGAUGGCAUGGAUGAAUCCGGAACUGGAACCUCUAUGUCAAUCCCAAAGGGAUCAAUAAGCCGAAUAUCUGACUUUGUCACAUCAUGGGUUUUAGCUGGAAUGGAAUAAAAAGGAAUAUGUUCCAAAAAAGUGACAUGUCGUGAAACAUAUAAUUUCUGACUUACAGGAUCAUAGCAACGAUAUCCUUUUUGUCCAAUACCAUACCCCAAAAACACACAUAUAGCUGAUUUUGACCCUAACUUAUUUCGUUCAACAUGAGGACGAAGAACAAAGCAAGUACAUCCAAAAACUCGUAAUGCAGAAUAAUUCGGCGGGUGACCAUAUAGUUUCUCAAACGGAGACAUCCCUGAAGUCAAUGCAGUAGGAAUACGAUUAAUCACAUAUACAGCAGUUAGAACUGCUUCUCCCCAAAAAAUACUAGGAACCUCUGCAGACAAAAGUAAAGAGCGUGCUGUCUCAACAAUAUGACGAUGUUUUCUUUCUGCCAGACCGUUCUGCUCAGGAGUGUCGGUACAAGAUGACUGGUGUAUGGUACCAUCAGAGGCAAGUAACUGAGUGAAGUCAUUAGAGGUAUAUUCACCCCCUAAGUCACACCUGAAACACUUUAUCACAGCCGAAUGUUGUGUUUUAACAAGGGCUCUAAAGUUGUUGUAAAUGCCAAAGAAAUCAGAUCUGCGUUUCAUAAGAUACACCCAGGUAUAACGAGUAUAGUCAUCUAUAAACGAAACAUAAUAGGUCGAUCCACCCUUAGUGGAUACUGGCGCUGGUCCCCAUACAUCAGAAUGAAUAAUAUCAAAAGGAGCAACAGAAUAAGACACACUUUUAUUAAACGGUAAGGCAGAAAAUUUUGCCAGUUUACAACCACUACAAUCUGAAAUAUCACUAGUGUUCACAUGACCCAAAGCACCACUAGAGACCAAAAAACGUAAACGUGAAACUGACACAUGUCCUAAUCUGGAAUGCCAAAGAUAAAACUGAGAAGACAAAGGACUCAAACGAAAAGAAGAUAAAUCUAUGCUAGAGGCAGCAACUACAGACACUUUGAGAUUCUCCAAGACAUAGAGUUCCCCCAACCUACGGCCGGUCCCAAUCACCCUCUGAGUGUGUUGGUCCUGUAUAACACAAACAGAAUCAGAAAAAAACACCCAAUUACCAGCCUUACACAACUGACUGACCGAAACAAGAUUUAAAGCAAGUUUGGGAAUGUAAUAAACAUCAGAGAGGACAAUGUGAGGGGUAGUAACAGAACCAACACCCUCGACUGACAUAGGUACAGCACUCGCGGACAUAACAGAGAUUGGUGAAAUGGGUGACAAAGAACCAAACGAUGACAAAUGAGGGGACAUGUGAUGAGACGCACCAGAAUCCAAUAUCCACAAGGAGGAAGGAAUACCUGAGGUACUAGAAGAAACUGAACCCGAAUGAGACAUAGAUGCUGACAUGGCCGUAGGAUUAGAAACGAAGAACUGUCUGAACUGUUCGAAAACCUGGGGAUCCAACGCAGAAGGUGGCAUAGUGCUAACAGACUCAACAUCUACAGAUGGUGCAGCAGCAGCGAACUGUGGAGGACGAGAUGACCACGGAGGAGCACCAGAUGGGCGUGACGGAUACUUUUGCUGCCCAUAUUUCUGUUGCUGCCCAGAUUGAGGCUGUUUGACCUUGUUAAGUAACAACGGACACUGAGCCUUCCAAUGAUUUUUCUGUUUGCAGAAUGCACACUCAUCAAAUGCAACUUUAGGAGAUUGUCGAGUCUGAGUACGUGGUGGCCUAGACUGAUCAGUUGAAGCAGCAAACACGACAGGAGUAGUAGUUACUUUAGACCCUUUAUCCACUUGAGACUUGAUACGAGUCUCCUCUGCAAUCAGUUCAUGAACCACAGAAUCAACAGUAGGGAGGGGAGAUCGAUGAAGGAUUGUUCCACGUAGGCCCUCAAAGUCAGAACGUAGUGCCAUCAAAAACUGAACCAAGCGUUGCUCUUCCCGUCUAGCAAUGUACGGCCCAAAACCUUUUAACUCUGCAGAUUCAGUAAGUGCCAAUUGAUCCCACAAAUCCGACAUGGCAGCAUAAAAAUCUUGAAUACUGAGAUCAUGCUGUUGAAGAGCACGGAUAUCAUACUCCAACUGGUACUGCUUAGCAAAAUUAGACUGAGUGUACAGUCUUUCCAAAUGAUCCCAGACCUCCUUUGCUGUGUCAUACUUAGCCAAUUGCAUACCAAUUGACUGAGUUACAGAAUUGUUGAUCCAAGUGAUAAUCUUGGAGUUAUUAGUUUCCCAUAAGUCCACCAACAAAUCAAAAUUUUCAGUUUUAUCAUCGAUAGGUCUUGGUUUUACUCCAGUGAUAUAACCCCACAUAUUCUUCCCACGAAGAAAAUUCUUCAUGACAUAACUCCAAUAUGCAUAGUUCUUACCAUCUAAUUGAGUACUAAUGGACUGGAGAGAAUCAUCCUUUCCAGUCAUUGUAAACACAGCAACACACAAACAAUUCAAAAAACAAAAAGAUGCAAAACCCUAGGUUGAACAAUUCCGAACGAACAACAAUGGCAGCAAGCAAAAGAACGAAAGACGAACAAUACCAGACAGCAAACGAAGACAGCAACGAAUCAAUCCAACCAAAAAACCCAACGAAAAGAGCAAACGAAUACAGCAGCACCUCAAAAAAAUUCGGGGCUCCGCCCCGAACCCCGGACGGGGGCGCGCUGCCCCCCGUACCCCCCAGCGAACUCACCGCGGAGUUCGAUCCGCGCAGUAGGUGCCUGCUACAAAAUCUUCAACCAACAAAUCAAAGGACAUGGAUCGAACUAGCUUUGAUACCAUGUUAAUAGAACUUUAUUGAAUGGAAGAAAGGCUAAGGUUUACAAUAUAAUCUGAAAAGCAUAAAACUGUCUAAAGCAAGAGUAGGCUAUAUAUACAUAGCCAAUAACCUAAAGGUCCAUAAACUAAAGGCCCAAUAACAUACGGGCUAACACUAACAACUCAGGAUGUUGUUGAUUAGCUAUUCUUAUGUCAUAUACCCAGUCAAAUAUUCUAGUAGAGUAUGCUUAUAGAGAUCCUUCAGGUGCGCAGGAAAGAGCAUCUACUGCUUCAUUAAACUUUUUGGGCUUGUAGAAAUUUUAAAAGUCAUAUCCAACUAAUUUCGUCAACAUCUUUUGUUGUUUCGGGGUCUAUAUGCCUUGGUUUGUUAAAUAAAACAAGGAUUAUUGAUUAGUAAAAAUUAUGAAUCUUUGACCCAAUAAGUAUUGUCUCCCCUUGGCCGCUGCUUACGUGAUAGCAUAUAUUUCCCUGUGAUAUGUAGAUGUUUGCUGCAUUCUAAGACAUAGUUUCUGGUUUUAGAAAGUAAUGGGAUGCCCUCCUUUAUAUAACACCACACCAAUAACCACCCACUAAGAAUCUAUCACAAUAUGGAAUUUUUUAGUAAAGCUGGGUAAUACAAGAACUUGGGUAGAACUUAAGUGGUGCUUCAAUUCCUCAAAGGCUUGUUGAGCUAGUGAAACCCAAAAAAACCCAUCUUUGUUCAAACGAUCAGUUAGCGGGCUUGCUAUAGUGGAAUAACACCAAAUGAAGCGAUGAUAAUAACUGGUGAGACCCUUGAAACUUUGAAGCCUCCUCUGAAUUGGGUAUAGGCCAUGACUGAAUUGCAUCUAUUUUGGAUAGAUCGACAGCUAGCCUAAUGUUUGACAACACAUGGCCUAAAUAUUCAAUCUGGGAUUGUCCAAAUGAGUAUUUGGACAUCUUGGCCACUAGUUGGCUUUCUCUAAAUUGCAAGACUAGUUCAAGUUGUUGAAAGUGAAUUUCCCUUGUUAGAAUAUAAACCAAUAUGUCACCAAAAAAAGCACCAAUACAAAGCGAUGGAGAUGCAUUAUGAAAGGUUGAUAGUGCACUAGAAAAGCAAGAAGCAUUACCAUAAAUUUUUAAUGGCCAUCAUGUGUUUGAAAGGCUAUUUUGGAAACAUCAGUGGCUUUAACCCGUAACAGAUGGAAUCCAAAGAGCAAAUCUUCUAACUUUGAAAAACAACAAGCACCGUGUAGCUCAUCAAUUUUUGGUAUGGGGAAUUGAUCACAUAUCAUUAUUGCAUUCAAUGCAUGAUAAUUAAUGUAAAACCUCCAAGUCUUAUCCUUCUUGUGUACCAACAAUAGAGAGGAAGAAAAUAGACCAGUUUUAGGAAGAAUAGUCCCUUCCUUUAGCAUAUCAAAAAUGAGUUGCUCCAUGAUUUGUUUCUAAAAGUAAAGAUAACAGUAUGGCUCACAAGCCCUAAAUUCUCCUGAAGGGGAAUAGCAUGGUCCUGCGAUAGAACUGGUGCUUCCUUGAGGCUUCUGAAAAAUAUCUUCAAAGAUGGUUAAGACAGAUUAAAGAUCUGAAGGACGAUCAAGAUUGAUAGUGCUUCAAUAUUGCACCAUCAUGAAGCAAUAAUAAGAGGUUAUAGCAUCCAUCGCAGAGUAACAAUGUAAUGUUUGAAGUUGCACAGGUUGUGCGUCCAGUGGAGGUUCACCAACCCAUCGGAUCGCUCAGUCGGCCAAAGUGAAUUCAAAUAUGUGUGCUCCAUAAUCACUCAUUAUUGGUCCUAGAGUGGCCACCCAAGAAAUUCCCAACACAAUAUCGGCACCAUGCAUUGGUAAGACAUAAAAGUCCAAAGUGAGCUCAGCACCCUAUCCUGUUAAGGAAACCCCUUAAGCAAUUCCCUCACUACAGAGACAAUGAACACUUUCGGCCAUUACAUAAAUGUCAGAAGUAUGUGUAAUCUUGAGAUUGAGAAAUCUUACAAACGAGAUUGCACCUAAUAAUGUAUGUUUCAACUAUCAAAAGGAACCAAAUUGGUUAUUCUCAAACGUUCCCUAAAAAUCACAGAGUUGUUUUAGAGUGACCUCCAGCCAAAGCGUGGUAGGAGAUGGUAGCAAAUGUCUUUAGAUCAAGGUUGUGGAUCUUAUUAGUGACAAAAUCCUUAGGUGAGAAAUUCAUCAAAAACUAAAAGAAAGAGUCAGUCUCAUCCUCCAAAAGUAGAAGUUGUGGAUGAAAUCUGCAUUUAUGGCCUUGGAUGUAUUUUUCAUCACAAUGAUAACACAAACCUUUCUCUCAUGUUGUAGCUUAGUGCUCGUGAUUCACUUAAAGGAAAGUUGUCCGGUGGUAUUCUAACCGAAGUUGUUGUACUGAUUAAUAGGUGUAGGUAACAAGGGUUGGGUCAUUUCAAAAGCAAGUUUGGGCCUCUAUUUCAAAAAACUUCCUAUCGAUCUCAUUGGGAACUAAUCCAACCAUCUCCAAACUCAAAAAAUACUAUGCAGAAACUAUAGGAAAGAGCAAAAUGAUCAAAACACAAAAAAAUAAAAAAUUCACAAUUCAGGUCAUUACAAAACUACAACUAAAAGGAAAAAGAAUACAACAAAAGGAAAGAUAGAUCUAGAGGAGGGAAUAAAAGGCUAGACAAUAGGAAUGGGGAUGACAGAAUAAUAGAUAAUACAUCAACAUCACACUUCUAUCUCAUAUCCGACUAUUUUGCUCUUAUAACUACUUGAUUCUCCUAUCAUUUUCUUAUUUUUUCCUAAAUCUAAUACAACUCAUUUUUACCAUAGUACAAAUCAUAGUCCGCCAACCUAACCUUUGAUAUUUUAUUCCUCUGGCCUCUUCCUAAAAUGUCCCUCAUAACUUGUGUGUCUACCUUAGUAGGGACUUAUUAUUCACAACAUUACUACCCCCUCUCUCGAAGAAAGUACCUUGCCCUCAAGGUUUGGGUCACUUGAUAUAGUUGUCACGACACGAUUUAUGAGUCAUGGCGGCAUCUGCUUUAUCUCACCAGUAGGUAAGACGAACCAUAGCCGAAGCGAUUUAUGAGUCAUGGUGGCAUUUGCUUUAUCCCACCAGUAGGUAAGACGAACCAUAGCCGAAGCUACCCACAAUGUGCUAUCUUGGUGGACAGCGACCUAAAUUGGCUGGAAAUCAACAUUUAAAGAGUCAAAAUAGCAAACAAGUAGUUAUAACAGUUUAAUAGAUAUAUAAAAGAGUAACAACUAUCCCAAGACUAAAUAAUGCUGGUACAGGUGCUACUACAUACAAACCAUAGGUACAGAAUAUUCAAAUACAAUCAUUCUCAAAAAUGAAAGACUAGACCCAGAUACAUCAAAAGGAAAAAGGGUAACUCUGACUUUAAGAGCUCACCCAAAUCUCCAAAAACUAACUCAACAUGACCAUAAAAUUCUCUGUGACAACUAGUUCAUGAAUCUGCACCAAAAAGGUACAGAAAUGUAGUAUGAUCACCAAAACCAUGGGUACUUAGCAGUCAUCAUCGGGCGACUGAGCUAAAUCAUGAUAUAAAAAUGAUAAGAUACAAGAUAAAGUAAACUAAGUCAAGGUAAUAAGGAAAACAUGGAAAUAAGCUCUAAAACUGCUACACAUAAAUAAAUAGAUACAUAUGAAAUAGUAAUGCAAAGAUCACACAGCUAUAACUACAAGACUGAGCCCCAUAAGACAAUUGUAGAAAAGUAAAUAACCCAAUGCAGGCCUCCAUAAGCUUGAAGGGUACAAUCAAGGAAAGUAAAUAACCCAAUGACAGUAAAUUACUAAUUACCAUGCCAUAACCAAGAAUCCAUCCGAACCAUAUCAUAUCAUAAAUAACUCCCAAAAAUAUCGGACUUGAACUAAAACUUAAUAGUGUCAUCAUCAUUUCCAUCAUUUGUCGGACUUGAACUAAAACUCAUAUUACUAAUAGCACAUCAAAUGUUGGACUCAAACCGAAUCUCAUAUAUGUAUCAUUAUCAUCAUCAAUUGUAUGACUCAAAUCGAAACUUAUAUAUCAUUAGACCAUGUAAAUAAACCAUAACCAUAAGCCAUAUCACUAGAACACAACAAUUAUCCACUAGAACUUACCCAGAAUUAGCACCAACUCUCAACUACCAAACCAACAUAAUCAAUAAGCAUCUAAUAUUUACAAAGUCCCCAAAUAGCAAUAAUAAGGUUAAAUCAUGUGUAAUUACGUCUAUAAAGGCUAACACAAGUCUUGCCUAAGAUGGGUCGGGGGGGUCCACUUCUAAUAUUUGAAAUCCAUAAAGGCAAAUUCUACCCCAGAUUAGGCUAAGGUAUCUAAAUUUAUUUCUAAAUGUUUAAAUAAUCCCUAAGACAGAAAUUUAUCCUAAAACAUAAGUGAAUUAGUCAACUUUUCCUAAAUUACGAUUUCAAGAUAGCCUAAAUAGUCCAACUAACCCAAAUAAUUUUAAUCAUGCCUCCAAUACCUAAAUCUCACCCCAUAUCAAGCAUAAAUGAUACUUAUACUAUGAAAAAGCUCAAUAUAUGGAGAGGGUAAACCUAUCCUACCUAGACACUAAAGAAAAUCUUGAAGAAUCUACUAAACCACCGAUCUUCCUUUCUAAGAAGCUUUCGCAAAGUGCCACACUAUCAAAAUCACAAUCUACUCAUCAAAACGAGAAGAAUGAUAUCUUUAUUGCACUAUUGUGCUUCAAGUCCAAAAUCACGUAAAACACUCAUGUGGGGCACUUUCAAAACCAACACAAUGUCCCUCUAUGCUCAAGGAACUCUUACCAUAAAAAAUGGGUAAAUUUCGAGUUAUAAUGAUGCUAAAACCAAGCAACCAAACUUUUAGGGAUUUUAGAUAAGAUUAGAGAAUUAAAUCAUGAAAUUAAGGGGAACCUGCAAAAAAUUCAAUGAAGAAAUACGUAAAUUGACGUUAUCCAAUCUCCAAAACCACCCACAAAUGAUCCUCCCAAGUUUUCACAUUAAUUAAGGUUUUACACUUUUGAGAAUGGGUAAAAAGUAGGAAAAAAUUGGGAAAAAGGGGAAUUUAGAAGCACCAGGUGCUGCUAAAUCGAGCCCUGGGCUGCUUAAUCGGUCACCGCUAAUGCGCCUAGAUGCCUCUAAAGAAUUACCAGUCCCCAUGAUCCAGGUUGCUAAAUUGGACCAUGGGCCACUUUAGCGCUAACCGCUAAAGUGCCCAGGGGACACUAAAUCAGUGCCUGUUGGCUAUGCUAAGGCCGCUAAAGCACCCUCUACUAAAUCUCCCAAAGGGCCACUUUAGCGGUCACACCAAAUAUCAUGCACCAGCUAGAGACUUGGAAUAUUUUUUUAGUCUCUUUCAACACCUUGGGAUUCAUUUGGAAUCCUAUAUACGCUAACAAACUAUGCUACCUUAUCAAAUUCGACGUUCUGGACUCACUGGCACAGUUGAAAUUUUUAUCCAAGGUCAUUUCAGGGAAAAAUGGGUUGUACACCCACUUGCCAUUUUUCUUAACCUCCUACCAAUAGCUCAAAAUGAGUCCGGGAGUCUCAAUACCCAAACCAAGGGUCCACCUAACCUAAAAUCAAUGUCCUGGAGAUAUUAGAACAGUCAAAAUUAGCAUAUGAGGUCGUUUGACUAAAGUUUCUGCCUGGCAGCUAAUUUGAACUAGCGAAGGAUUCCAAAUAAGAAAUUAUCUCUAAAAAUCAAAUGAACUGCCCGGUAAUCGAACUUUCAGUUCCAGCAAGUCAUAAAUAACUUGGGGAAGCUAUAGGAAUGCUCUAAGUGGCAAAAAUGGGACAUUGCAAUAUCAACUACUAAAAGAACUUUCAUCCAUAAAAGUAAAGGAUUAGGAUGUACCUGAAACCUCGAACAAGUGAGGAUACUGGGUUUGCAUCUUGCUUUCGAUCUCCCAGUAGCCUCCUCUACUGGACGGUGCCUCCACUAAAACUUAACUACUAGAAUCUCUCUAGUGUGAAACCGCCUGACAUCUUUUGCCAAAAUAAGCUCCGGCUCCUCCGCGAAGGUUAACCACUCAUCCAACUAAACUGAGUCCCAUCUAAGCACAUGAGAAGGGUCAGGAAUGUAUCACCAUAACAUAGAAAUAUGGAAAACUAGAUAGAAAGCAGCAAAAUCUGGGGCUAAGGCUAACUCAUAAGCCACCUCACCAACAGUGCAAAGGAUCUCAAAAGGUCCAAUAUAUCUGGGGCUGAGCUUGACUUUCCUCCCGAACCUUAUCACACCCUUCAUGGGUGAUACGUGAAGGAAUACCCGAUUACUAACUCUAAAUCUCAAGGCACAAAGUCUACAAUCUGCAUAAGGCUUCUGACUACUCUGAGUUGCCCUCAACCUGUCUUUAAUCAUCUUGAUUCAAUCCAACGACUCCUGAAGCAUGUUGAUACCAUGGGGUCUAAUCUCGGAAGUCUUGAAACAUCUAAUAAGAGAACGACACUACCUACUAUAUAAAGCCUCAAAAUUCUCUAUCUCAAUACUCGAAUGGUGGCCAUUAUUAUACGCAAACUCUACCAAGGCCAAGUGAUGCUCCCAUUAACCUCCAAAAUCUAUCACACAGGAUUGGAGCAUAUCUUCAAGAACCUAAAUAGUCUACUCCAACUGCCCAUUAGUCUGAGGAUGGAAGGUUGUACAAAGAUUCACCUGAUUACCCAACUCCUCCUGAAAAGCUCUCCAAAAGCUAGAAGUGAACACUGAACCUCGGUCUGAAAUGAUAGAUAUAGGUAUACCGUGCAAAUGGACUAUCUCACUAACAUUAAUACGAGUCAACCUCUCGAUAUAAAAGGAAUCUCAAUAGGAAUGAAGUAUGCCGACUUAGUCAACUAAUCUAUAAUUACCCAAAUAUCAUUAGAGCCACGAGAAGUACAAGGUAACCCACUAAUAAAGUCCAUGGUAAUCCGCUCCUAUUUCCAAUUGGGAAUGGGUAAUACCUUAAUUAAGCCACUAAGUCUCUGAUGCUCGGCCUUCACUUGCUGACAACAUACGCAACGAGCUACAAAAUUUGCCAUAUUUUUCUUCAUACCAGUCCUUCAAUAAUGUUGUCUCAAAUCUCAACACAUCUUGGUUGUACCCGGGUGAAUAGAAUAUUUGGAGUUGUGAGCCUCGUGAAAAAAUUGACUAUAUCAAGUCAUCAACCCUCGGAACGCAAAUGCAUCUAUCAAAUCUCAAGACACACUCAGAAUCUAUGGUAGACCUCCUACACUCACAACUCAAUACCCGAUCACGGAUGAUACAAAGCCUCUUGUCCUUAAAUUGACUACUCUAAAUCUGCUCAAAUAUUGAAGAACUUUUCUCAACACUAGUAAGAAUCCUAAUAGGGUCUAAAAUAUUAGCCAUCAAGUUUGCUAAGGAUUGAAUGUCCUGUGCCAAUAACCUUUGAGAAACUGAAAUAAAAGCUAAGCUACCUAUACUCACUACCUUACGACUCAAAGCGUCUUCUACCACGUUCGCCUUUCUCGAAUGAUAAAAGAUAGAUAUGUCAUAAUCCUUAAGCAACUUUAUCCAUGUACACUUCCUAGAAUUAAGAUAUCUCUAGGUCAAAAGAUGUUGAAGACUAUGAUAAUUCGUAAACAUCUCACAAUGCACGCCAUAAAGAUAAUGUCUCCAAAUCUUAAGCGCGAAGACUACCACCGCCAACUCUAAAUCAUGAGUAGGGUUUUUACGAUCGUGCACCUUUAGCUUCCUCAACACGUAGAUAACAACACGACCCUAUUGCAUAAACACACAACCAACCAAUAUCAGAAGCAUCAUAAUACAUGGUGAAUCUCUCACCCUGAAUAGGAAGAUCCAAAAUAGAAGUUGAAGUGAGAAAUCCCUUGAGCUUUCUAAAGAUUGACUCACACUCCUCAAGCCAUCUAGAAAGAACCUUCUUUUAGGUUAAUCUAGACAUCGGCACUGGAAUGGUGGAAAAACUCUCCAUGAACUGCCUAUAGUAACCAGCCAAACCAAUGAAGCUACAAACCUCAGUGGGAGGUGUAGGUUUGGCCUAAUCAUGAAUGGCCUUAAUCUUUGUCGGGUUUACCACAAUCCCAUCCUUAGACACCACAUGCCCAAGGAAUGUCAUCAACUCAAGCCAAAAUUCACAUUUAGAGAAUUUGGCUAAAAGCAUAUGAUCUGUCAAAGUCUCGAGCACAAUCCUUAAAUAUUGCAGAUGUUCUUCCCUACUCCUCAAAUAUAUAAGGAUAUCGUCGAUGAAAACAAUCAUAAAAGAAUUUAAAUAAAGUCUAAACACACAGUUCAUCAAAUCCAUAAAUGUUGUUGGGGCGUUAGUCAACCCAAAAGACAUCAUUAGAAACUCAUAAUGACCAUAACGGGUCCUAAAGGUUGUCUUUGGGAUAUGCUCAGCCUGAAUCCUCAACCUAUGGUAUCCGAACCUCAAUCAACCUUAGAGAACAUUGCUUCCCUCUGAAGCUAGUCAAAUAAAUCAUCAAUGAGAGGCAUAUGCAUUGUCACCUUAUUAAGAUGCCUAUAAUCAAUUUAUUAUACAUGGAACCAUCUUUAUUCUUCAGAAACAAUAAAGGAACUCCUUAGGGAGACACACUCAGUCUAAUAAAAACACUACUAAGAAGAACCUGAAGAUGUGGAUUUAGAUCCAUAAGCUUGGUAGGUUCCAUAGAAAUAGGUCGAGUGACUGGAUCAAGAUCAAUAACAAACUCAAUAUCAUACUUAGGAGGAAGACUAGGUAGAUCGGUAUAGAAAACAUCUAGAAACUCAUAAACUAUAGGAAUAGAGUCAAGCGAUAGACUCUCUACACUAACAUCACAGAUAUAAGUGAUAUAAGACUCGCAACCCCUCAAAAUAAGUCUCCUCACACAAAUAUGAGAAAUAAUCCCUAUCAAGCUAACUGUACCCUGGCACAUGCCGGUGGUACACCAAACAUGAAGAAGGUAAUGGCCUUGGCAAAAUAAUCCAGAACUGCAUGAUAGUGGGAUAACCAAUCCAUGCCUAGAAUUAUAAUAAAAUCCACCAAUCCACCAUGUCAAAUAUAAUAAGAUCAACAUGAGUAUCAAGCUCUCGAGCAGUCACAACACAUGAUCUGUAAACCUGAUCCACUACCAAUGAAUCACCCACAGGAACAGAUACACAUAAUGACACGAAUAAUGAAUCCCAAAAUAACUCUAACUAUAGGGCAUAAUAAGUAGACACGUAAGAAUAAGUGGAUCUUGGAUCAAAUAAAGAAAAAGCCGACUAACAGAACACUAAGAUCAUACCUAUAAUAACAAUAUCCAAAGACUCAGCCUCGGGUCUAGCAAGUACUGUAUAUAACUGAUUACCUCUGGAUGGGCUCCUGAUUGAUCUCUUGUCCUACCUCUUGAGAAACUGUAUGAGCACCCUAGGGACUACCCUUAUGACCAUGCAUACCACCUCUAGCUGGGGGCAAAAUAGCCUCAAUUAAUGGAACACUCUAAAUUAUAGGAACACUACUCCACAAUUGGGUCACUCUCACGAUAAAUGACCAAAAACUCUACAACCAUAACAAGCCCCAGGUGCAGUACUAAAACUAGAAGAUUCAACUGACCUGGAAUAACUAUGAUGACUAGAAUAACUAGAAAAUGAACCCUUCAAAAACUGACCACUACCCUAGCCAGGACGAUCAGUGAAUCUAGACUGGCCUCCACCGAUAAUGUGAAGAGCUUCCUGAACAAGCCUACUAGACUGACACUGAUGCUGGUAAGGCUGAUACAGAGGGUACCUACCCUAAGGAACACUACCGCUAAACUAUGAUCUACUACGGCACCCAUUGAAACUAUCCUAAUAUUGCGGCCUCUUAUCGCUACCCCCUUGGGCUUCGCAAUGUAUCUCCUUCUUAAUCGAAAUAUGAUUAGAAAACCUAAUAAAAGACCUACUCAUAGAAACCAAACUCUAUGUAGAUAUAUAAAGAGGAAGUCUUAUUCCCCAAAUGAAGCAGCGAACUCUGUCAUACUCAGUAGUUAGAAUAGUAGUAGCAUGCCUAGAUAACUCAUGAAAUUGAGCCUUAUACUCCACAACAGUUAUGAAUCCCUGCUCCAACAUUAAGAACUGACCCCUAAAAUAAUCCCUGAGACUGCGAGGCAUAUGCUUCUCCAAGAAGAAAUUAGAGAACUAAGUCCAUGUUAAUGGGGAAGAUCUAGCUGGCCUGGAAUCAAGAUGAACCCUCCACUAAUGUUGAGCUUCCGAGUCCAACUGAAAAGUAGUGUAAUCCACACCACGAGUCUCAACUAGGCCUAAAUGAUGGAUUCUAUCCUCACAAGCAAUCAAAAUUUAUUACGCAUCCUCGCACGGUGUGUCAAAAAACUUAGGCAGAGCUAAUCUUAAGAACCUACCCAAAAUCUUCUGUUCCUUACCAAACAUAGAAAGAUGGGAAACCACCGUUUGAGCAACUAUUAGCUGGGCAAAUACGAAUGCAGAAGGGACUCUAGGACCUACGGCACCCAUUGAAACUAUCCUAAUAUUGCGGCCUCUUAUCGCUACCCCCUUGGGCUUCGCAAUGUAUCUCCUUCUUAAUCGAAAUAUGAUUAGAAAACCUAAUAAAAGACCUACUCAUAGAAACCAAACUCUAUGUAGAUAUAUAAAGAGGAAGUCUUAUUCCCCAAAUGAAGCAGCGAACUCUGUCAUACUCAGUAGUUAGAAUAGUAGUAGCAUGCCUAGAUAACUCAUGAAAUUGAGCCUUAUACUCCACAACAGUUAUGAAUCCCUGCUCCAACAUUAAGAACUGACCCCUAAAAUAAUCCCUGAGACUGCGAGGCAUAUGCUUCUCCAAGAAGAAAUUAGAGAACUAAGUCCAUGUUAAUGGGGAAGAUCUAGCUGGCCUGGAAUCAAGAUGAACCCUCCACUAAUGUUGAGCUUCCGAGUCCAACUGAAAAGUAGUGUAAUCCACACCACGAGUCUCAACUAGGCCUAAAUGAUGGAUUCUAUCCUCACAAGCAAUCAAAAUUUAUUACGCAUCCUCGCACGGUGUGUCAAAAAACUUAGGCAGAGCUAAUCUUAAGAACCUACCCAAAAUCUUCUGUUCCUUACCAAACAUAGAAAGAUGGGAAACCACCGUUUGAGCAACUAUUAGCUGGGCAAAUACGAAUGCAGAAGGGACUCUAGGACUUACAGCUACAGGCUAAGUACCAAUCUAAUCCGCAGACUAUGCACUAUCAAAUGGUGACCACCAACCAAUCCAAAAAUCUAAACCAAAGCAUCCCUAAGAACUAAGAAGAAAUAAACCUCGAUAGAGCAUAGGCUAGUCUCUAGCCCAAUGGUAGCUGGAGCAAAAGAAUCUCUAGCUUGAGAGUAGAAAUAGGGUAUGCUAAAGGUUCCCUAUACUGGCCCCUCGAUGGGUACCCAUCCCUAAGCUAUCCAUGACCUCUAGGUCAUCUACGGACAGCGAAAAGAUCCCUAGGAUCGAUCUUGGGACCCUUGUCUCGUGUAGUGGUAGUACACAUCCUAGUCAUCUGCCAAAGAGUAAAACCAAAGGAAUGCUUUAGAAACCAACUCAGACUCUUAGCAUGAAAUGAGUAAAAGAAGUGAAGAACUCAUAAGAAUGUCCUAUAGCCUCUCAAAGAUAAAGAAAUAGAUGUCAUCAUUCUGAUCCAAAGGACUCUACUAGACACUUGCUCUUGUACCAACAAUACUAGUGAAACCUGACUCUAAUAUCAAUUUUUCAUAACCCGAUUUAUGAGUCAUGAUGAUACCUACUUUAUCCCGCCAGUAGUUAAGAUGAACCAUAGCUCAGAGCUACCCGCAAUGGGCUAACUUGGUGGAAAGGGGCCUAAAUUGUCCGAAAAUCAACAUUGAAAGAGUUAAAACAACAAAUAAGCAGUCAUAACAGUCUAAUGGGUAGAUAAAAGAGUAAUAAUAAUCACAAGACUUAGUAAUAUCGAUACAAGUGCUACUACAAAUAAACCAUAGGUAAUAAAUAAUCAAAUACUAUCUAUCUCAAAAAUCAAAGACUAGACCCAGAUAUAUAAAAGGAAAAAGGGUAAACCCAGAUAUAUAAAAGGAAAAAGGGUAACUCGACUCUGAGAACUUACCCAAAUUUGCAAAAACUAACUCAGCAUGAUCGUCGAAUCAGCGAUAAUAACUAGUACUUGGAUCUUCACCAAAAAUAUACAAAAGUGUAGUAUGAGUACCAAAACUACAGGCACUCAGCAGGCAUCAUUAGCCAACUGUACUAAAUCAUGACAUAAAUACGAUAUGAUAUAAGAUAAAGUAAACUAAGACAAGGUAAUAGGGAAAUUUUGGAAAUAAACUCCAACACUAUUGUGCAUAUAUAAAAAAAUACAUACGAAAUAGUAAUACAAAGAUCACACGUUUAUAACUACAAAUAGACCACCAUAAGCCAAUAAGUGCAAGAAAAUAAAUGACCCAACACAGGCCUCCAUAAGGGUAGAGGGUACAAUCAAGGAAAGUGAAUAACCUAGUGACAGUAAAUUACCAAUUACCAUGCCAUAACUAAGAAUACAUAUGAACCAUAUUAUAUCAUUAAUAACUCCCAAGAAUGCUGAACUUGAACCAAAAUUCAAUAGCAUCAUCAUCAUUACCAUCAUUUAUCGUACUCAUACCGAAACUCAUAUAUGUAUUACUAUCAUCACAAAUUGUCGGACUCGAACCUAAACUCAUAUAUCAUUUAACAAUAUCAAUGGACCAUGUAAAUAAACCAUAAUCUUAAUUCAUGUCACUAAAAUACAACAAUUAUCCACCGAAACUUACCUAAUAUUAGUACCAACUCUAUACUACCAAAUUAUAUAAGCAUCUAAUCUCUUCAAAGUCCCAAAAUAGUAUUAAUAAGGAUAAAUCAUGCGUAAUUAAGUCUUCAAAGGCUAAUACAAGUCUUGGCCUAAGGUAGGAUAGAGGGUCCCACUUCUAAUCUUCGAAAUUCAUUUUAGGAAAAUUCUAUCCUAGACUAAGCGAAGGUAUCUAAAUUUAUUUCUAGAUGUCAAAUAAGCCCUAAGAUAGCAAUUUAUCUAAAAUGUUAGCAAUUAAGUCAAUUUGACCUAAAUUAUGGUUUCAAGAUAGCCUAAAUAGUCCAAGUAACCCAAAUAUUUUCAAUCAUAUCUCCAACACAUAAAUCCCACCCUAUAUCUAGCAUAAUAUCAUACCACCGAUCUUCCUUUUUGAGAAGCUUUUGCAAGGUGCCACGGUAUCAAAAUCACAAUCUACUCAUCAAAAUGAAAGUAUUAAUACCCAUAUUGCACUGUUGUUCUUUGGAUCCAAAAUCACGUAAAAAUUAACAUGGGGCUUAUUUAGGAAUCGCACUUUCAAAACCAACACAACGUUACUCUAUGCUCAAGGAACCCUUACCCUAAAAAAUUAGUGAAUGUCAAGUUAUAAUGGUGCUAAAAUCAAGCCACCAAGCUUUUAAGAGUUUUGAAUAAGAGUGGAGAUUAAAUCGGGAAAUUAAGGGUAACUUAUCACAAAUUCGAAGAAGAAAUGAGUAAAUUGAUGUUACCAAAGCUCCAAAACCACCCACAAAUGAUCCUCCCAAGUUUCACACUAUUUUGGGUUUUACUCUUGUGAGAAUGGAUGAAAAUUGGAAAGAAAUUUGGCAAAAAAGAGAAUUUAUUAGCAUCAGGUGCCGCUAAAUUGGUACCCGUCCCAUGAGCCAGGCUACUAAAGCGAACCAUGGGCUGCUUUAGUGCUAGCCGCUAAAGCACCCAUGUGUUGUUAAAAUGGUACCUGUUGGUUGAGCUAGGGCCGCUAAAAUGCCUAAUGGGCUGCUAAAUCGCCCAAAGGGCCACUUUAGCGGCCACACCAGAUAUCAUGCACCGGUUGGAGAUUUAGAACCUCCAACCCCUUGGGAUUAAUUUGGAAUCUCGUAUAUGCAAACGAACAAUGCUACCCUAUCAAAUUCAAUGUUUCAGACUUACAAGCGCAGUUAAAAUUUCCAUCUAAGAUCGUUUCGAUGAAAAGUAGGUCCCACCAACACUUGCUGUUUCUCUUAACUUCCGACCAAUAACCCGAAAUGAAUUCGGGAGCCUUGGGACCCAAACAAAGGGUCCAACUAACCUAAAACCGACGUGCCAGAGCUAUUGGAAUAUUCAGAAUUAGCAUAUAAGAUUGUUUGACUGAAGUGCUUGCCCGCUAAUUUAAAUCAGUGAAGGCUUCAAAAUAGAGAAUUAGCUCUAAAAACCAAAUGAAUUGCUCAGUAACCAAACUAUCAGUUCCAGAUCAGCUAUAAGAAAGCUCUAAAUGGUAAAAAUGAGAGAAAAUAUAGAAAAUGACCAGAAGGAUCAUUACAAUAGCUUUAUCUAUUAUUAAUAGGGGAGUGACUUGAUGGACGGUCUUCCCCACACAAUGUUUCAACAUAAAGAUGUGGAACACCAUAUGAAUGCACAGCGCAUCUGGAAUUUCAAGUAUAUAGGACAUAUUUCCGAUGUGUUUAAUCACCUUUAAAAGGUCAGUAUUUCCUUUCCAAUUUAUGAUUUUUUUUGUAAACAAAUUAAAUUUUAGAGAUAUGGUUUAGUUUGAUAUACACCCAAUCACCAAGAUCAAAAUGAUCAUCAGUUUCUACCUUAUCUGCCAGCCUUUUCAUUCUCUGUUGUGCCCUUGCCAGAUUAGCCUUCAAAAUCUCUAGUAUUUCAUUCCUUCGUACUAUAUAACGUACAGCAAUGUCAUCAGUUGAGCUCCCUAGGAUAUAACAAAUCAUAAUAAGAGGGUUCUAGCCUAUACAAUGUCUGAAAUAGACUCAUAUCUAUCGAUGACUAAAAGGUUGUGUUGUUCCAAAACUCUGCCCAUGGAAGCAUGGCUACCCAUUCAUGUGGUGAAUUUGUCAUAGAGCACUGAAUAAACUUCUCAAUGCGUUUGUUUGAUGGACUCAAAUUUGUCAUCUGUUUAUGGAUGAUACCCCGUACUCAUUGCUAAAGUUGCGUCUUGCAGCCUGUUGAGUUCCUUCCAAGAGGAUUGGAAAAAUCUAAAGUUACGAUCUGUGACAAUGGACUUUGAUGGACUAUGUAACUUGACUAUGUGGUUGAUGAAAGACUCAAGUGUUGAUUGAGCUAAAAAGGAUGAAGGUAGGGUAAUAAAGUGCCCAUACUUGGAUAGACAAUCAACCACAAUCAUAGUAGUAUAUUUUCCCUUAGAUGUUGGAGAACCACGUGAUGAAAUCCGUUGUUAUUUCUUCAAAAACCAUUCUGGAAUUGGAAGAGGUUGAAGAAUACUGGCAGGACAACAAAAAAUGUCCUUCAUUUGUUGACACACAUGGCAUGAUGCCACAAAUAUAUGAAUAUCAUGAUGCAUGUGCUGCCAAUAAAAAUUUGAUACAGUGCGAUGAAAGGUUCUAGCAACUCCAAUAUCACCACCUAUGACAAAUUCAUGAAAUUUGUGCAUCAAGGUGUUUUUGAGAGCACUAUCAGAUGGCAAAGUCAGACGAUCCUUAUAAAAUAAUAACCCUUACUGAAAAGUAAACUCCAAAUACAUACUAGGGUUUCCGCCCAUACAUUGUUAAAUAGCUAACAACUUAGGAUGUUGUUGAUUAGCUAUUCGUAAGUCACAUAACCAGUCAAAUGUUCUAGUAGAGAUGAUAUUGAGAUCCUUCAGGUGUGGGGGCAGAGAAUCUGCUGCUUUCUUGACUAGUAUUUCUUCCAAUGUGUUGAAAUUCUACAACUAAUGCCUAUGUCAUAAUCUGUCAAUAGAAGUUAAUUGCUUUCUACUUGCUAUUUUUCCUCAGAAUAAAUGACUUUUUUGGUCUUCUUAUCUACCUGGAAGGCUGAACUUAAUUCAUGUCCAAACUUUUGAUCUAACAAAAAUUCAGUUUGUAUUGAUCCAUUUUGCAUAUAAUAAUAGGUUUGAUUUGAUGAUUUAAGUUAAUAUUAAUCCUUUUUUUUUCUCUUAUUAUGCAUAAACGUCAUUUUGUUGGGUCUGUUAGACCCUAUCUCUCUCAUUCCGAGAGAACAAAGAGGCCCAAUAUCGAGUCAAAACCUCAACAAUUCCGAAAAUGAGUUGAAUAUGCUAAUAUUCAUCAGAUACAAAGGAAUAUACAUGAUAUAUAGGUAACAUACAAUUAUGAAUAGGGAAAGGAAGCAUAUUUACAAGUAGAAGACUAAAAUAGGUGUAUAUGUAAGUGAUAUACAGUCAUACACACAAGAGUGUCAAAAAUGCAUGUAAGAAGCUAUGAUAUUCAUCGGAUAUACAUGGCAGAAAUGGCCGUUAAAAAUGUCCCUAAUUUGAAGUCCCAAAUCUAGACAAAUUUAGAAUUGGCCAAAAGGCCCCAAAUCUCAACCCUCUCUCUUUUAUUUGUAAUUUAUAUUCAUCCUACGUGUAUUAACUCUAACUAUUUUAACUAAUUUAAAUUAAUCCCCUUUGAGUUUAUAAUCUUUGUUUUAUGCUUGUGAUUUUUCAAUUUGUUUACCAAUUUGUCAUGUAGAUCAGUCAAUUUGAAAUAAAUCAAAAGGAUCCUUUAAUUAUCACUCCUUAAAUAGGUCUCUGAAAAUCAAGUCUUUUUCAUACUAAGAUGGCAUUUGCUUCGAUGGCAUUUGCUUUGUUCACGUGACUAAUAGUUUACUUGUGUUAAAAUAAUUUUUGUCAAACCUAAAAAGCUAAUUUUUCUUGAAAAAUCCAAGCUCAUUAGGUAUUUUCAUAAAAUCCUUUUUUUUUUUUUUCAAAAGAUGCUAUUCUAACAAAAAGUUACUUUCGAUUAAAAAAAUAUAUAAUCCUCUUUUCCAUAAAGAUAUAAAUUUCUUUUCCUUAAAUUUAAAAUUUUGAAAUUUAGACUAAAUGGGUUUAUCUUUAAUUGAAGUAGAAUAUUUUUCACUUGAAUGAAUAAAUGUCAUUUUAGGUCUUCAAAUAAAUAAUUUAGAUAUUCUCUAUAAAAUUAAGUCUUUGCAAAUGUUUCCCACUUACUUUAAAGUUAGUCAUCUUUUUUGUUAAACCAUUUUUAAGACGGACAUGCCUAAUCUACUUAAAAACAUUCUAAGGGCGUUAAUUGAACCCUAACUCAAUUUCUCUUAUUUCAAAGGUUGAUUUCUAUUUUUGAAUCUUUGAACUUUCUUUAAGUCUUUUUUUGAACCCUAAGUCAAUUUCUCUUAUUUCAAAGGUUUAUUUCUAUUUUCUUUGAAAUUUCUUUAAGUUUUUCUUGAUAUAUUUAUAUAAAAAAUCAACUGGUCAAUCUGUAAUUUUUCUUAAAAUUAUUUCAAUUUUUUUCUAGAAUUUUGAAAUAGUUUAAAACAAAACCAAUUUACUUUAAAUGAAAUCCAAAAAAGGAUAAAACAAUCCCGAUGAUGGUAAAAGCAACUAAUGCUCAAACAAAACCAACAAUAUUUAUCCAAACCAUUCUCUCGGGCAUCACGAUAAUAAUACAGGUAAAUAAUGCUCCAAUAAGACCAAUACCAGCCCCUGCGCGGGCAUUAAAAUAAUAAUAAUUUCACAAAUCAAUAAUAAUAUUCACAUAAUCCCCCACGCAGCCAACACAAUAAAAUAAUGAUCUCAAAAUAUAAAUAUCAUGAUAAAAUCCCCAAUCCAUAGUAUACUUUACAUGAAUGGUUAAACUACCCAACUCAGUUUGAAAAAUGUUAAACCAUAACAUACUUCGAAAAGGCAAAUCUCAAGCUUGGACCCUUCAACCAGGAGUCCUUCCCUUUCGUGCGGUGUCAGAAUGAACUAAAUAUAUCACAAACAUAAUCUACACAUCCAAAGGAGUCUAAUGACAUAUUAGCUACUUUCGUUUUAGGUCCAAAAAUAAUUAAAAAAUCGACCUCGAAGAAAAAAUGAUAAAACCAAAAUUUUAUUAAAGAAUCAAGUUUCCCAUUCUCCAAUGAUUCUAAAUAUUGAAACCCACUAAAAAUAAGUUGAAAUUAAGCUUCAAAUCAUAAAAAGUCCAUAUUCUCUCUUUACCAAGUGAAACUUCAAAAUUUAAGUUUAGGAUCCAAGUUUAGAAGAUAAUUCAGUGAGAUAAUCAAUGAAUAAGGAUGGAAAUCAUGUUAGAAGCUCACUCAAAUCCAAUUUGAUGAAAAAAAGUAUCUUUGUAAUCGCCAAAACUGAGACCCCAAAACUUAAAAAUGAAAGAAUGAAGUAAAAGAAAAGAAAAAUAUAAUUUAUACCAACGACGUCGCCUGGGCGGUCGUUUGGUCACCUAAACGGCAUCGGCUAGGUGGCCAGACACACAUACAAUACUUAGAAAAUUGUGCUGGAAGGAAGGGCUUUUGUUUAGGCAGUCUUAGGUCCAUCCAGGCAACACCGCUAAGGCAACCAAAUAACCGCUGGGGCGGUUGCACCAGAACCAGAUUCAAAUGAAACAUUAUGCAACUAAAAUGACUCUGAAUGGACACUUGAGAUUCAAUCGAGAGCCCGUCCAGAUAGUUUAAUAAUGUUACUAGGCUAAUUGUGACAUUUUGGAAUCAAUAAAAUCAUUAUAUUUAUAAAAAAAAAGUCGUUAUCAACAAGUUAACUCUCGAGAAUCCCUUUUAGGCUAUUUUAACUAGUUUCUCAUCUAAUAGGUCAAAACUCUAAAUGAAGGGCUUAUGGAAUCACCAUCUGAUACUACUAACAACAAAAUGACAUUUCAAAUCUAAUGGAACUUAUAGAAUCACCAUCUGAUGCUCGGGUCACGAAAUAUCGACCAAAAUCAAACUAAUCACUUUCAAGACUACUCAAAUCACUCUCAAACACUUUGAGGACCAUUCCAACCAUCCCCAAAACUCAUAAAUGAUCUAUACAACUAUGGAAAAAGGAAAAAUGGUCAAAAUACAGAAAAAGUUAAAAAUCAAAACAAGGGUUGUUACACUUAGCCUUGAAAAAAAAUUCUUGAAGAGAAAUGAAAGAAAUAUAGUAACGGUUCUUAAAAUUUAUCAACCUUUCAAAAUUUUUAAGGAUAAGGCAUUAAUCAUUGGCAAAAAGAAUAAAAGACUUAUUCUUGGAAAGUUGUUAGGGGAGAUAUUAGACAAGGUAGACCAAGGAAAUUGAUACCAAUACCAACUUGAUCUAUUGUGGCUUUGUUUUGAUCCUCCUGAACUGAUUAGUUCUCGAGAUCAUCAACCUUCAUUUGAAUAUCUUUCUAUUUAUGAAUUUCUUCUUCAAUGAAAGUGAUACGAAAUGAAAUUAUGACAACAGAAAUGAACUACGAAAGAAAGUAAAGACAAUUAAUAGAGAGAUAGAUAUUUAGACACAAGAAAGAGUAACUAAGAACAAAAGUAUAUAUCAAAUCCUAAUACCCUCAAUUACAACUAAUUCAAACACCUAAUUUCUAUGGUGAUCAAGAGGGAGAUGAACUCCCUCUAAACCAAUGUUUCUAAAUCAAAGUUCAACAAAAGUUUUCCAACAGUCUCACUCAAUGGAGAAACAUUCAUCAGUUCAUCAAUAAUCUAGCAAAACUACGAGAAUGAGAAACCCUCAAAAGUAUUUAUAGUUUGGGCUAAUUAUUACAAUUUUAGGACCCAAAAGUGAUCAAAUUGGAAGAAAAGGCCCACUAGGGGCUGUUUUGAUCCGCUCUUUAAAUGUUAGAGCGGAUCCAAAGCGCAUUGGGCGCAAGUCCUUUCUAAGGGGCUUUCUAGCCCCGUUUUUCCUUCCCUUGCCUCCUUCAAUGAUCCUUGGACCAAUAUGAGUAUGAUCAUUAACAAAUGAAACCCUCUUGAUGGUAAGAAGGCCUCUUCAAGUACCUCCCACUUCAUGAACAAUCCUUGGAUCCUUUGAGGCUCCCGAGCUUGACUUCUAGUGAAUGGUUUGGAGCUAAUUCAAAUUGUAUCAUCCUCUCCAUCCUGGGAAGAAUUUAACCUCAAAUUAAAUGGGUGAUCAUCUUCUAUCAUGUCAAAGAGUGAAAGAUCACACAGAUUAAAGGUAUUACGCACUUGAUAUUUUGAAGGAAGGUCAAUUUUGUAGGCAUUGUUGUUUAUACUUUCAACCACUUAAAAUGGACCAUCACCUCGAGGCAUCAAUUUGCCUUUCCUUUGGGUUGGAAACCUAUCCUUUUGGAGGUUCACCCACACCCAAUAACCCAUUUCAAGAACAAGCCUCUUCCUUCCGUUGUUUACUCUUUUGUCCACUUCUUGAUUCUUUUUCUCAAGGCAAAUUCUCACCUUCUCAUGCAGCUUCUUUAUGGUUUCCACCCUCUUGUCUCCAUCUAAGCUUAUCACAAUAUCACUAGGCAAAGGAUUGAGAUCUAAAGAGAUAAGGGGUUUAAAACCAUAAACACAUUCAAAGGGAGUCAUACCAAUAGUCAAAUGGAUAACACAGUUAUAAGCAAAUUCGACUAGUGUUAGGUGGUCCUCCCAAGAGGCCAUUUUUUAUUUUACGAAGGUGUACAAAAUAGAACCUUGGGUUCUAUUUACCACCUCUAUUUUCCCAUUCGUUUUUGGGUGGCAAGAUAUUGAGAAGAGAAAUUUGGUAUGAAGCCAACCCCACAACGACCUCCAAAAGUGACUAAGGAACUCAGAGUCCCUAUAACUAACAAUAGUCCGAGGAAUUCCAUGUAUUUUGACAACAUACUCAAUAAACAAAUAAGCCACAUUAGAAGCAUCAUCAAUUUUAUGUCAUGGAAUAAAAUGGGCCAUUUUUGAAAAAUUAUCAACCAUAACAAAAAUGUGAUCUCUACCCCUCCUUGUCUUAGGCAACCCCAAAAUAAAAUCCAUAGAGAUGUCAAGUCAUGGGCGUUGAGGAGUGGGUAGUGGGGUGUAUAAUACUUGAGGUAGAAGGUGGGAUUUCAUACUUCUACAAUCCAUGCAUUGGCCACAAAUUCUAGCAACAUCUUGACGCAUCUUGGGCUACAAGAAUUGUUCCUCUAGGAUUCGAAGUGUCUUACCAAUUCCAAAGUGACCUAUUAUACCCUCAUAAUGUGCCUCUCUUACAAACAAUUCUCUCCAAGAGCUAGAGGUCACACACAACCUUCUUCCAUUAAAUAAGAAACCAUUAAAAUUGGAGUAGGGCAUAAAAGCAUUAUCCCUCUCCCCCCUUUCCCUACCUCGUAUCUCAUAAUCUUAAUAGAUUUGAGCAAAUUGGGAUUCCUCUGGGUACAUUGUCUUUAGACUCUCAAAUCCCAUCAAUUUAGAAGACAAUGUAGAGAUAAGCACAUGCUUCUUAUAAAAUGCAUCGGCUACCACAUUUUCUUUUUCCUUUUUGUAUUGAAUUACAUAAGGGAAAUUCUCUAGGAAAGCAAUCCACUUGGCAUGUCUUUUAUUGAGUUUACCUUGGGCCUGGAGAUGUUUCAAAGUAACCUGGCCUGAUACCUAUUCACUCGCCUGGACAGGACUCAUGAUUGGUUUGAACUACAAACUCCUUGGGCCACAAAUAAUGUUGUCAAUUACCCAAGGCUCUCAUCAAGGAUUAUAACUCUAGAUCAUAGGUGGAAUAAUUUAGAGUUGCGCCCUUUAGCCUUUCACUAAAAUAGGAAAUAGGUUAAUGAUCUUGCAUUAACACGGCACCUAUUCCUACCCUACUUGCAUCAUAUUCAAUCUCAAACAUCUUAUCAAAACUGGGUAAUUGCAAUAAGGGGGUAGAGCUAAGAAUAGCCUUCAAAGCUUCAAAUGCAUGGCUUGCUCAUCACCCCAUUUAAAAGGUUUAUCCUUAUGGAUCACCUUGUUCAAAGGAGAGGUGAUGGUACUAAAUCAUUUGACAAAUUGCCUAUAAAACUAGCCAACAUAUGGAAGUUUCUUACUUUACCAACAGAUUUUGAAGUUGGCCAAUUCUUGAUGGCGUCUAUCUUAGAUUCAUCCACCACGACUCCUUUUGAGUUCAUAACAAAUCCCAAGAAAACAACUUCAUUCACACCAAAAGAACAUUUUUCAAGAUUAGCAUACAACUUCUCUAAUCUGAGCACUUCAAACACAUUUUACAAAUGUAAGACAUAUUCUUCAAGAUAUUUGCUAUAAACUAGAACAUCAUCAAAGUAUACCACAACAAACUUUCCUAUGAAUGAUUUUAUCACAUGGUUCAUCAACCACAUAAAGGUACUAGGAGCGUUGGUGAGGCUAAAAAGAAUGACCAACCAUUCAUAAAGACCAAACUUGGUCUUGAUAUGGUCUUCCACUCAUCACCCGGUUGCAUCCGAAUUUGGUGGUACCUGCUCCUAUGAUCUAUCUUAGAAAACACCGAAUGUGGUUCCACCAAAUUCAACUCAUCAAGCAUAUCAUCCAAAUGGGGAAUUAGGUGGCGAUACUUUACCGUUAUUUUAUUAAUGGCUCGACAAUUGACACACAUGCGCCAUGUUCCAUCUUUAUUUGGCACUAGCAACACCAAAACCGCACAUGGACUCAUGUUCUCUUUGAUGUAUCCUUUGUUUAGUGGUUCCUCAACUUGACUUUAUAGCUUUUUUGUGUCCUUUAGAUUACUUUGGUAAGUCAGUUUGUUGGGUAAUUGAGAACCCGACACAAAAUCAAUUUGAUGCUUAAUACCCCAAAGUGGGGUCCUUGGGGAAGCUCCUUUGGGAACACAUCUUCAUAGUCCUACAAAAUAAGGGAAAUAGAAUGGGGGAUAGGAGAAGGAGAGUGGUUUGCAUAAAAAUCAUGGGCUAGGAAGAGCAUGGGUGUUUUGUCAUAAUUCUCUUUGAAAAGAUCUUUGUUCCUAGCCAGCAUCACCAAGGGACUCUUCCCUUAUAACCUCUUUUUCUCCUUUUAUUCAUCCCACUUCUCUGUUUGGUCCUUCUUCUCACCUUGUUUCUUAUCCUUCUUUUUUAAUUCUCUUAAUUUUUGGUGAUGUUUAUUCACCUGAAAUGGCGAAAGUGAAUGGAGAGUGAAUUUCUGACCAUUCAACUCAAAAGAGUACUGAUUGGUCCUUCCAUCGUGCUUGAUUGAGCAAUUAUAUUUCCAUGGUCUCUCAAGUAAUAGAUGACAAGUUUACAUAGGUAUCACAUCACAAUGCACCAUAUCAUGAUAAUCCCUGAUUUUAAACUGAAUCAAUACUUUCCUAGUCACUUUCAACUCACCACAAUCAUAAAACCAUUGAAGUUUGUAUGGUUUGGUAUGUUUGGUUGUGGGCAACUUCAAGAAAUCAACCAAAGUAUCACUACACACAUUAGCACAGCUUCCACUAUCAAUGACCAAAGAACACACGCUUUCCUUUAUAAGACAUUUAGCAUAAAAUAGAUUCUCCCUUUGACUAGGGUCAUCUAUCACCUUACUAAUCAUUGCACGCCUUAGAAUAAAAUUUAGAACCUCAGACUCUCCAUCUUGAAGCCAAGCAUCUUCAUUAUCCUCCUUUGUCUGCUUAUCUUCUUUGGACCCUUCUCAAUCUUAGGAAUUUUCAUUAUUCUUAUCUUCCAAUUCCACUUCUUCUCCAAGGUAAUACAAUUUUACUUACCAAAGGAUCACAUUUCUCUGGUUGCGAAAUUCACUUGGCUUAUUUCCCCACCCUUGACAUUUAAAAUAUUGAAAACCAUUAGGAUUAGGAGUAGGAUAUUUUUUACCUUCAUUUCUUGAUGGGUACUUUGGAGUGGUCUUCUCUAUGAGAUUUUUGUCAUUGGACUUGUAGUCCUUGUACUUGUCAUUGGUCUUAUCUAUUAAAAUUUUAUAUUUUAAUACCCAUUGAUGCAUGUAGGAACUUAUGGAGUGUAAGGAAGCGCCACGAUGCAGUGAAAUCGCCAGUGAAAUUCUGGAAAUUGACUCACUGGUGGUCAAAAUGGUGUACCACCAGUCUGGCAACUGACCACCAGUUCGAACACCAAGUUAAAAUAGAAUUCAGGAUUUCAAGACACUCAGUGAAGGUCAAAAUAGUGGACCACCAUCUUUGCGACUGACCACCAAACUGACCACCAGAUUCAAGAUUUCAAAAAAACUCACUGGUGGCCAAAAUGGUGGACCACCAGUCUUGUGACUGACCACCCAAUUGAUCACCAGACCUAAAACAGAAGUACAGAUUUCAGCACAUCCAACGAAGGUCAAAAUGGUGGACUACCAUCAACUUGACCACCAACUACGAAAUUUUUCUGAAUACAAAUUUUAAUUCCAUUUUACUUGGGAACAUAUAAAUACCAGCUUUAGGAUUUAUUAGGGAAAGNNNNNNNNNNNNNNNNNNNNNNNNNNNNNNNNNNNNNNNNNNNNNNNNNNNNNNNNNNNNNNNNNNNNNNNNNNNNNNNNNNNNNNNNNNNNNNNNNNNNNNNNNNNNNNNNAAGAUUCAAGAACAAAUUCUUGUAACCUUUGUAAGUAAAUCUUGAAUUUAUUUAUGAAUAAUACAAAGAUGCUUUCUAUUUCUUCUAUGAAAAUGUGUGGCUAAGCUCCCAUAACUAGGGUUAUGGGAGACUUGAUGUGAAAAAUGGAUUUUGGAUUGUGAAUCCAAUUAAGUUCUAUAAGUAAUGGACAUUGUAUAAACCUUUCUUCACUUUAAUGACUUUUCUUGGUUGCAAACUUGAAGAGUGAGCCCUUAAACAUCACUUGUCCAAAAUGAAAAGUGUGUUGGGAAAAGAAAGGGUUUGCAUGAAUUCUCAAGGCUCUAAACCUUAGAUUAACGAUGAAUACCUUAGCAGGAUUGAUCUACAUGAGAAAAUAGUUGAAUAAAUAAUAUAUCCUUUGAGUUUGAGAGAAUUGAGGGAUAAAUUACCCAAUCAAGUUGAGAAACUAAUGGGUAAAUAAUAGGAAUCAACUACUCUUACAAUGGAAAUUAUUAAUUGGAACUCAUAAGUGAUUCACAACCCUAAUUCUUCAAGCAUCUUGGUAACCAUAACUCUGGUUUGUUUAAUAUCAUUGAAUUACUACUUACAAAAUGAAUCAUUAGAUGGAAUAACUCUGUUACAAUUAACUAGGACAUAAUUCACAAAUUAAAACCCCCCAUUUUAUCUUUUCGUAUCAUUUAUUUGAAUUCAACUUGUAGCUAUAGUUUCAAAUUAGUUUAAUCGCCACUCACAUUGUUCCCUGUGGAUUCGACCCCGACUCCAAAGUUGGAUAAAAAUAUUGACGACGACCGCCUUGCACUAAAUUGACGUGUAAGUUGAGCAUUAUCAAAAAUGGCGUCUUUGCCGGAGAACAAUUUGGAGUAUUGAGUUGGUUUGGAAUUUUUAGUUUACUUGCUUGAAUUCAAACUUGUAAAUAUUUGUUUAGUUUUUUUUAUUUUCUUUUAUUUUUAUUAUUCUCACACCUUUUUUGAGAUGUCAACCUGGAUAGAUGGUUUUCGGAGUAAUGAAGAUUCUUGUGACGAUUCAUGUGAUUAUUGUGGGGACCACAUUAUGAGGCUUACUGCCCAUAUUUUAAUGAAACUAUAACUUGGUGUUUGACUUGUGGUCAAAGUGAUCAUUCUAAAGAUAUGUGUGCUUCCACAAUUCAAGUGGACAAAUUGAUAAAAUAAAUUUUAGAAAACUAAGCACAGUGGGAAAAGCUAAAGGAGUUACCACUCCCACCAUGUUUACAGUGGCUAAACAAAGAAGAAUAUGAGGAGGACAUUAGCCAAUUUGAGGAGAAAACUCAAGAAUUGCAACCACUCGAUUGUCAUCUUAAUCUUGAGACAAACAUUGAAAAGGUGAAUAAAAGUAGAGUGUGUAGUAGAUAGUGUAAAUUAUGAAGUAGAAUUAGUUGGGCCUCACUCGAAGCAUUUUUUUCACAUUAUGUUUAGAUGAUAUCUUGUCUAUGGAAUCAUCUAAAAUAGUGGAAGAGUGUGAAGAUGAGGAACAAGAAUCCUAUUUUCUUUAUUUUACACUUGAUAAGAAACAUAAAAACACACCUCACUUUAAGAUCGAGUUGUUUACCAUGCAUCAUCCAUUACUCGGCUUCUUAAUCUUUAUACCACCUCCUUAUGAGCGAGGCAAAAAGUUGGAUGCUAAGUUGGGGGUAAAAUUUAUAUCAUUAAGAUGGAGGGAAAAACGUGAUUAAGUCAUGCCGCGACACUAAAUUAGGCGCUUCUUGGGAGGCAACCCAAGCUAAGGUAUUUUUUUCUUUUUAAUUUUUAGUCUUAAGUUUUUAUUUCAAGUAGUUUUAUUUUUGGUUGAGUCACAGGUUAAUGGGAAGUCUGAGUGCCAUAAUCUUGCGCAAAGGAGCAUAGCAUAAAAUAAGUGUGGGGUUCCAAGGAUCUCCUCUAUGUGAAGAUGCAUCUAGCUAGGCCUAGAGGCCUCAGGGAGUAUUUCUAUCGCUUCGUUUAAAAAUUCACUUUUGGGACAAAGUAGAUUUUUAAGUGUGGGGUGGAAAAAUUCCCAAAUUUUGGCUCAAUUUUUUUUUUUUAGGUUUGGAAUAAUGAGGUAUUCUUGUUGGUGCUAUUUUUGAUUACAUGAUGCAAGUGGGUUGUUUGUAAAAGCAUGUUGAAUUGUGGGAAUUGCUAUUUUUGAGACUCUUAGGCUCAUGUUUGUGACUCUUGUAAUUGUUGGCUUAAUUUUGAAUUUGUGCUAUUGUUUGGUUGAGAGUCUAUGAUGAUCCUCUGUGAAUUGAGCAUGUUCCAUGUGCGUGUGAGAUUUUUGUAUAUUCCUUGUUGCAUAUUAUGUCUAGAACUUGUCCGGUGUGUGUGUGAAGCGAAAUAAAGAAUGUGAGUUUAGGAGAUGGUUAGGCAUUUCUGAGUUUAGGAGAUGGUUAGGCAUUUCUUUGAUAGCCUAGUUUUAUAUCUUCUUUUACCUACCCUUUUGCAUUAUCUUAGUUAGCCUCAUUGAGCCUUUAGCUUUCUCUUUGGCAAUCUCAUGUGAAGCCUAAUCCCCUUCCUUGAUUGACCUUAAUUUGAUCCAAAUCUUCUAAGUGCUUUAAUAUAAAGGACAAAGUAGGAAGGUUUGUGAAACUGAAGGAGGAAGGUGAAAGUGAAACUCUAAGGAAAUGUUCAUUGUGUUCCUAAAUUAUGAUGGUUAGGAACUACAGAAAGUAUGAAAGCAAUUUUAAACUUUUUGGUUGCCCAUUUUUUGCUACAAUGAACCUGUUUUGGCCCUGGUCCAUUUAGGAAAAUGUGCACCUCAACCAAAGCGAAUAGCUUUAGUUGAGGGUGGCUACUAUAGGGGUGCGUAACAAUAACUGGUGUAUGAAGGAGAGUUGAGAAUUACUUGUGAUGUAAAAGGGAAGUACUCCUACCAUAAUUGUUGUUAAUGUCUUGAACAAAGUUAGGGCAAAAACAAAAAGAAUAGGGUGAAAAAAAAAUAAAAUUUCUGAUGUAAUUUGGUUGUUGAAUAUUUGUUUUAAAUGUAUAAGGUAGUGUAUUAAAGCACUUAGAGAGGAUAGUCACUAUUCUUGGCCUACCUUUCCGCUAGCUUACAUUACAGCCCAGAAAAGACCUACUUGAUCUUAAGCUUUACAUUUGACUAUUAGUGGAGCAUUACACAAAGGGAAAGCCUGUGGCUCAUUAUGUGUAACUUGUGAAUUCUUUGUGAGAGAAAGCAAAAUUUGAUUCUUAUACCCAUUGUUAUAAAUUGCAUUAUUGUGAGUGAUUAUGGAUAACUCUCUUGUUGUAAAGGGCACAUGUUUGAUGAAUAUAGGUAAUUUGUAAGAUGUCUUUGACUGAAUAAUAAGCAUGAGUUUGCUAAUAAGGUGAGUAAAUUCUUGAGGCUCGGAUGUUUUGGAAGUAGGAUUCAUGAGCUUUCCAUUAUGUUUGUGACAUGCUUAGUGUAGAAAUUUGCAUUACGCGUAGUGAUUGUAGUACUAGCUUGAAUGUAUUGCAUGUAGAAGGAGUGUGGAAUCUAUGCAUCCCAUGAUACUUAGAGUGAAUAUUUUUUUGAGGAUGAACAAGGUUUUAAGUGUGGGGUGUUAAUGUUGGGUGUAUAUAUUCAUUCUAGCAUUACUAUUUUAGCCCUUUUUAGCCUUGUUUUGAGGAUGAUUCUUACGAUAUAUGUGAUAAUAAUGACAUAAAUGUGCAUUCAUGUUUCCAAAUAUGGGUUUAUAAUGCUUAAUGGUGUUUUUACAUAAGUUUUGAUUCACUUCGAACAUUUAGAGGUCAAUCGAGAAAACUAGUGUGACUAGCUUGAGCUAGGUGUUUGUCUAGUCUAUUAUGUUGGGUUCUAAUGUAUUUUAACGAGUUACUAAGGUUGUUAUUAUGUAUAUAUAUGUGAAACCACUUAUUUAUAAUAUUCAUAGGUCAAUUGGAUCAAGAAAAGAUUCAAAACAAAGAGCUAAAAAUCAAAGUGAAACUAGCCUAUCCUUAGCUCGUGUUUUGAGUCUAGGAUGUUGUGUGGUUUUGAGCUCUACUUUGUGGUGUUUAAUGCUUUAUGAUGAUUUUUUAAUGGAUCAUGAUGAUAUAUGAAGGAUAUACAAGCUUCAAAUCAAGUGGAAACAACUCAAUAAGGCUCAGAAUGGCUCAACGAAACCGAAAUGCGGAAAUUGACUCCAUUUGGAGUCCUGAAAUGUAUUGGACCAUUGAUGGCGCGUGGAAAGUCCAAUGGAUACAUGUAAAACACCACUGGAUUCAUAAAAGUUUGUAGUUUGAGACCAUUGGUGCGUGUAGGAAUUUAUGGAGUGUAAGGAGGCACCACGAUGCGGUGAAAUCGCCAGUGAAAUUCUAGAAAUUGACUCACUGGUGGUCAAAAUGGUGGACCACCAAUCUAGCGACUGACCACCAGUUCGAACACCAAGUUAAAACAAAAUUCAAGAUUUCAGGACACUCAGUGAAGGUCAAAAUGGUGGACCACCAGCUUUGCGACUGACCACCAAACUGACCACCAGAUUCAAGAUUUCAGAAAACUCACUGGUGGCCAAAACGGCGGACCACCAGUCUUGCGACUGACCACCAAACUGACCACCAGACCUAACAUAGAAGUAUAGAUUUUAGCACAUCCAGUGAAGGUCAAAAUGGUGGACUACCAGUUUUGCGGUGGACCACCAACUUGACCACCAACUUGCACAAAAUUUUUCUGAAUACAAAUUUUAAUUCCAUUUUACUUGGGAACAUAUAAAUACCAGCUUUAGGAUUUAUUAGGAAAGAUAUCAUUAUAUUUGCAUCUUUUAUCAUAGCCUCUAUACUUGAAACUCUCUGUAAGGUAGUAUUUUUUGGAAUUAAGCAAAUAUUGUGGAUCUAAUCAUUCCAUCUCUAUUGAAGAUUCAAGAACAAAUUAUUGUAACUUUUGUAAGUAAAUCUUGAAUUUAUUUAUGAAUAAUACAAAGAUGCUUUCUAUUUCUUCUAUGGAAAUUUGUGGCUAAACUCCCAUAACUAUGUUUAUGGGAGACUUGAUAUGAAAAAUGGAUUUUGGGUUGUGAAUCCAAUUGAGUUCUAUGAAUAAUGGAAAUUGUAUAAACCUUUCUUCACUUUAAUGACUUUUCUUGGUUACAAACUUGAAGAGUGAGCCCUUAAACAUCACUUGUCCGAAAAGAAAAGUGUGUGUUGGGAAAAGAAAGGGUUUACAUGAAUUCUCAAGGCUUUAAACCUUAGAUUAACAAUAAAUGCCUUAGCAGGAUUGAUCUACAUGAGAAAAUAGUUGAAUAAAUAAUAUAUCCUUUGAGUUUGAGAGAAUUGAGGGAUAAAUUACCCAAUCAAGUUGAGAAAUUAAUGAGUAAAUAAUAGGAAUCAACUACUCUUACAAUGGAAAUUGUUAAUUGGAACUCAUAAGUAAUUCACAACCCUAAUUCUUCAAGUAUCUUGGUAACCAUAACUCUGGUUUGUUUAAUAUCAUUGAAUUACUACUUACAAAAUGAAUCAUUAGAUGGAAUAACUCUGUUACAAUUAAUUAGGACAUAAUUCACAAAUUAAAAACCCCUCAUUUUAUCUUUUCGUAUCAUUUAUUUGAAUUCAACUUGUAGCUAUAGUUUUAAAUUAGUUUAAUUGUCACUCACAUUAUUUCCUGUGGAUUCGACCCCGACUCCAAAGUUGGGUAAAUAUAUUGACGACGACUGCCUUGCACUAAAUUGACGUGUAAGUUGAGCGUUAUCAUAGAUAGUUAUGCAUGGAGAGAUAUCUUUUUUCAACCCAACCUUGAAGCAUAUGAUUUUAUAGUUCACAUUCUCUCAAAGGUUGAGCUUCAAGAUCAAUUGUUGGAAUUCAUCAUAAUAGUCCAUAACACUCUUGCUACCUUGCCUCAAGUUGUACAACUUAGCAAGUAGCUCAUGUCUAUACCUCUCUGGAAUAUACUUUUGUUUCAUGAAUACCUUCAACGCAUCCCAUGGAGGGAGAUGUCCUUCAUUCAACACAUUUCCAAAUCUCUUGACAUAAUUUCACCAUGUAUUGGCAUACGCUUCAAAAUGAGUUAUGGCAUAGCAACUCUUCUACUCUUCGGUGAUAUCAUUAACUUGGAAGAUCAUUUCACAAGAGGACUCCCAUAAGAGAUAAACUUCGGGAUCACUUUUUUCUUUGAAAGUUGGAAGACUAACCUUAAUUGAAUUGAAACCCACAUCUCAAUCCCUAUUACUGUAACACCCCGUAUUCAAGUACGUGUAUUGGCUUAUUCAAGUACGUGUAUUGGUCUUAUUUAUAUGGAAUUAAUUUUUUUAUUUUAUUUAUAGUGGAAUUUGCCUGUCGAUGGUUCCAUGCGAAGGUUAUUGAAUAAGCUUUUCAACGAUAUAAAGAUUUCCAAACACGGAUAGGUUUCGGAUAUAAUCGAGCACGUUCGAAACUAUAAAACGGUGGUCGGGAUAUUUGGGAAUAGUAAAUGUGCAGGAACAUUUCCUGCACACAAACUACUUAGGCCAGCCAAAUUUUUGGGUCAACUUCGAAUGAUCAUAACUCCCUUAAUAUAAUGAACUGGGAGAGCUGCGGCCAAUGAAAAGAAAGAUCUUUGAGUCUUCUUUCCAAUGCAAUUGGUUUCAUCCAAAUCCAACGUCUGAGUAAGGAUCUAUACUCGUUUUACUUCAGCCUAUCAAAACAAAUUUUUAGGGUCAACUUCAAACGACCAUAACUCCUUGUACAGGACGAACUGGGUGACCUACUUUAUAUGAAAUGAAAUCCCUUUGAAUUAUCCUUCCAACAAUACCAAUUUCACCCAAAUACGAUAUCGGAGAAAAGAGUUAUGGUCGAUCUACUUUAGCUUAUCAAAACAUUCCACCAAAGGACGGAUUUGAUAUUAUUUAAAUUUUAAAGGCAUUUUGGUCAUUUCCUAUUACAUUAUGGACGGUAAUAUGUGUAUAUAUACAUGUAUAUGAGUUCAAAAACUCAUUUUCAUCAUCAAUCAUUGAGAAAUAACAAACCCUAGCCAAAUUUGACCUUUAAAUUACUUUUGAUUCAACCGUAGAAAUUCCAAAGUAAUCCGAUAACUGCGUUUGUCAUCUCGAGAGCUUCGAACGGCACCUAUUAUUUGUGCAAACAGGAUUGCAUAAUCAAGAGGUGAAUUCUAAGGUAUGAAUAUUGUUUGCCUUUGUUCUNNNNNNNNNNNNNNNNNNNNNNNNNNNNNNNNNNNNNNNNNNNNNNNNNNNNNNNNNNNNNNNNNNNNNNNNNNNNNNNNNNNNNNNNNNNNNNNNNNNNNNNNNNNNNNNNNNNNNNNNNNNNNNNNNNNNNNNNNNNNNNNNNNNNNNNNNNNNNNNNNNNNNNNNNNNNNNNNNNNNNNNNNNNNNNNNNNNNNNNNNNNNNNNNNNNNNNNNNNNNNNNNNNNNNNNNNNNNNNNNNNNNNNNNNNNNNNNNNNNNNNNNNNNNNNNNNNNNNNNNNNNNNNNNNNNNNNNNNNNNNNNNNNNNNNNNNNNNNNNNNNNNNNNNNNNNNNNNNNNNNNNNNNNNNNNNNNNNNNNNNNNNNNNNNNNNNNNNNNNNNNNNNNNNNNNNNNNNNNNNNNNNNNNNNNNNNNNNNNNNNNNNNNNNNNNNNNNNNNNNNNNNNNNNNNNNNNNNNNNNNNNNNNNNNNNNNNNNNNNNNNNNNNNNNNNNNNNNNNNNNNNNNNNNNNNNNNNNNNNNNNNNNNNNNNNNNNNNNNNNNNNNNNNNNNNNNNNNNNNNNNNNNNNNNNNNNNNNNNNNNNNNNNNNNNNNNNNNNNNNNNNNNNNNNNNNNNNNNNNNNNNNNNNNNNNNNNNNNNNNNNNNNNNNNNNNNNNNNNNNNNNNNNNNNNNNNNNNNNNNNNNNNNNNNNNNNNNNNNNNNNNNNNNNNNNNNNNNNNNNNNNNNNNNNNNNNNNNNNNNNNNNNNNNNNNNNNNNNNNNNNNNNNNNNNNNNNNNNNNNNNNNNNNNNNNNNNNNNNNNNNNNNNNNNNNNNNNNNNNNNNNNNNNNNNNNNNNNNNNNNNNNNNNNNNNNNNNNNNNNNNNNNNNNNNNNNNNNNNNNNNNNNNNNNNNNNNNNNNNNNNNNNNNNNNNNNNNNNNNNNNNNNNNNNNNNNNNNNNNNNNNNNNNNNNNNNNNNNNNNNNNNNNNNNNNNNNNNNNNNNNNNNNNNNNNNNNNNNNNNNNNNNNNNNNNNNNNNNNNNNNNNNNNNNNNNNNNNNNNNNNNNNNNNNNNNNNNNNNNNNNNNNNNNNNNNNNNNNNNNNNNNNNNNNNNNNNNNNNNNNNNNNNNNNNNNNNNNNNNNNNNNNNNNNNNNNNNNNNNNNNNNNNNNNNNNNNNNNNNNNNNNNNNNNNNNNNNNNNNNNNNNNNNNNNNNNNNNNNNNNNNNNNNNNNNNNNNNNNNNNNNNNNNNNNNNNNNNNNNNNNNNNNNNNNNNNNNNNNNNNNNNNNNNNNNNNNNNNNNNNNNNNNNNNNNNNNNNNNNNNNNNNNNNNNNNNNNNNNNNNNNNNNNNNNNNNNNNNNNNNNNNNNNNNNNNNNNNNNNNNNNNNNNNNNNNNNNNNNNNNNNNNNNNNNNNNNNNNNNNNNNNNNNNNNNNNNNNNNNNNNNNNNNNNNNNNNNNNNNNNNNNNNNNNNNNNNNNNNNNNNNNNNNNNNNNNNNNNNNNNNNNNNNNNNNNNNNNNGUAGGAGCCAGGAUAUCCAGCUGCUUUUGGUGAGCUCCAGUUUGCUUCGGGGCUUUCUGUGUCAUAUCCAGUCACUUUUGGUAUUGUAUAGAAGUUAGUUAUAUGGCGGGGUUUGUCCCGACCUUAGUUAAACUCUGUGUAUUGUCUAGAGGCUUUGUAGACCUAAUAUACAGUCAAGGUGGUGUUUUGUUAAUAGACGUGAUGGCUCUAACGGCCAAGUAUUAUAUAUACAUAUAUAUAUGUGCUCGAGCUUAUACAGGUGAUUAUUUCCUUUUAUAUGCGACAUGAUGUUGUCCAAAUUUCGGGUUGUCAUAGAGGUAUGCAUGGGAAGUAUAAGGUUAUGAGCUGGUUCUCCCGGGCCUCCUCGGUUAUGGGUGUCAGCCCGCCCCAAUAGGAUUUGGGGUGUGACAAUUACCUUGUUAGUUCCAUUGAUCAUAACCUUGUGGUCGGUUUCCUAAGUUUUCUCUACCAUUAGGCUCCGGACUAAAUCUUCCUCCUUGACCUCGAUAACCUCUUCGAUCCAUUAGUCUACCUCUCAUUUUCUUUACCAACAUGUUGGCUUCAUCAAAUACCCUGAAUUUCACUUAUUGUUAUUUCUUUUCUUCCUCGUCUAUUGGAUGGGUUAGUUUUGGUUAAGGGGUGCUUGGAAUGGGGGAAUUUGGUUUAAUGGAGGUUGGGGUAUUCGGGUUCAAGAUUCAUUAUGUUGUGUUUGGUUGAAUUGAGGUUGGAGUAGUUGAACAACAUGUUGGUUUUGUGGAUAUGUAGUUGCUUGGAGAAUGGAAUCAUGUUUUUGUAUUGGUGGAUUGAUUAUUUGGUAAUGGUUUUCGGAGGAAAUAUGAAUCGAAGGAUUUGAAGCAUGCACACUAGUAAGCAUGGUAGUGUUGAGGUAUGGAUAGGGAUGUGUUUUGUCGACCUUCCAUGAUAUCCACUCUUCCGCCAAUGAAGGAUACACUCCCCUUCAAGAGAAUCCACCUUAAGGUCAAGUGAAUUUAUCUUAGCAUCCAUAGAAUCAAUUUUACAAUUGAGAGUUUCAAUGGCCGCUAAGAUAGCAUUUGUUGAGUGGUUAUCAAUGGUUUGCGAAGUUUUUCCUUUCGUAUUUAUUGUACCUAUGAAGAAAGACACUCACAAAAAUAAAAAACAUGUUAGUGUUAGAGAAAUUAACCUCACAAACUCAUCACACCUUUGUUUACCUCACACUUGGAUCACAAUUAUUGAAAGAUAGUUUAUACUUCGUGUGGUAAUCGAGGUAUCAAGUGAUACUCUUCAUCGGAUUAGACUCUUGUUUAAAAUUACUCAACAAAAAUAUGUACGAACUUGAUUCAAGAAGCUAGGAAGAAUUAAAAACUAGAUAAUAUUAAAAGAAAAGAAACGUUGAACGAUUCAGAUUCAAGAACUAAUCAUCCAACUUAGUAGGUGAAUUACUAGUUGUUGAUAGUUUUAAGAAUGAAAAGUUGAAUUUAAGAAUCAAGGAAUGAAACUAAGGAAUCAAACCUGAGAAAAUUAGAGUUUAUAAGUGUUUUAAUGUAUUUGUAACUUGCAUUGAACGUUUGGGAAGGCUUGAUAUAUGUUUGGGAGGUGUCACACACCUUGGACGCAACUUUAGAGCACUUCUAGUGCAGGUAGGGAAGGUUGCUCACUGUUUUGACCUAUGGCAGAUGUUCCAACGCACCUCCAUCACAGGUUGGCUGCAGGAAAGUCCUUAGACACUACCUUGAGGUGUGAAAAUAGGCUGGGAGCAGCUGCAGCGCACCUUGGGCGCAAGUCAAGGGUAAGUUGACCGCCCUUUUCUUGUUCCAAGGCUGAAAAUGCCCUUUUUGAUGUCUUUUGUCUAAUCUUCUCUUGGAAUAUUCUUGAAAUCUUUUUAGAUGCUCAAACACAAACACCUUUUCACUCUUUUUCUUCCUUCUUUUUGGAUCAAACACCCUCUUUUUUAUGAAUUUUCAAUAUGAAUACAAUAAUCUCCUCAAGAACGCACCAAGAACAUCAAUCUUUCUAAUUUUUUUCGGAACUUGGAAUGGGUUGAAAAUUUAAACGUAGGCACUUCUUAGCCUUCUUAACUCAUUCCAAACAUCAAAUUGCCCAAAUUCUUCACCAAAAUCUUCAUAUUUUCUAUUCACUUCAAACAUCUUCAACCCAAGCUUUCAACAAGGAUAAAACACUCAAAUAAGCUCUGAUUUGACUCAAAUUGGUUUAUAGACUCGUAUAGUGUUAGAGAAUGCAAAUUCAACACUAGAAAAACAAGAAAAAAUAAAAAUCAGAAACGUAAAAUGUGACCUAAGACCUAAAAUAUGAAUUUGCAUUUCUUUUGUGAUUUCGAUUUUAUACGACGACUAGACCCAAGAUUGACUUCAUAUGAAUGAAAUCAAGCUCAGCCCUGAUAUCAAAUGAUACGAAACAAAACUACGACACUAAAAACGAACUAAGAAAGCAAGUAAAGACAAUCAAUAGAGAGAGAUAAUUAGAUAUAAGAAAAAAAGGAUAUAUCAAAUCCUAAUACCCUCAAUUACAAUUAAUUCAAACACCUAAUUUCUACGGUGACCAAGAGGGAGAUGAAUGCCCUCUAAACCAAUGUUUCUAAACCAAAGUUCAACAAAAGUUUUUCAACACUCUCACUCAAUUAAGAAGCAUUCAUCAAUUCAUCAAUAAUCUAGCAAAACUAAGAAAAUAAGUUGUCCUCAAAAGUAUUUAUAGUUUAGGCUAAUUAUUAUAAUUUUAGGGCCCAAAAGUGACCAAAUUGCAAGAAAAGGCCCACUGGGGGCUGUUUUGAUUCGCUCUAAGCGGAUCCAAAGCACAUUGGGAGCAAAUCCUUUCCAAGGGGCUUUCUAGCCCCAUUUUGCCUUCCCUUGCCUCCUCCAACGAUCCUUGGACCAAUGUGAGUGCGAUCAUCAACAAAUGACACCCUUUUGAUGGUAAGGAGGUUUCUUCAAGUACCUCCUGCUUCAUGAACAAUCCUUGUAUCCUUUGAAGCUCUCGGGCUUGACUUCUAGUGAAUGACUUGGAGCUAAUUUAGAUUGUAUCAGAAAGAGACCUCCAUGUUGGUCGGAAUAUCUUUCUCAUCCUUUUAAGACUCUAUUCGAAAUGAGCAUAUUCAUACAUACACCCUUUUCAUCUGGAGUUUUAGCUUCCUCAAGCUCAAAGUUUCUAGCUUCAGAAAAGAUCUCCUCAUUAUUUGGAUCAACUGGUACUUCUAUGGUCGUGAAGGAGAUAUGUAAAUUGUUAGAAGAAGGAAUAUUUUGGCAAGUAUCAACUUCAGCUUCACUAACUUGCACUUGGAAUGGAUAUUCUUAUUUUUAUGCAUAGCUUCUAUUCUUAAUACAUCAGUGUUGGGCCCUUUCACUGGAAUCUCCUGGAGGGAGGAUAAUUCCUUGACAAUGUCUCUUACCAACUUAGAGAUUUCAUUCAUGGACUUUCCCCUUUUUCUUGAGUAGGAUUUUUCAUAAAGCGUAGUUGAUUUUAUUAGAGGAGGUAUGUUUUCUCACUCUUAUGGUUUUCUAGUGACAAGUUCUUCAGAAUAGCUCAAGAGUUUAUACAUUCGAAACCUUGACAACCUUUUGUUAAGCCUCAUCCUUGAACCAUUGAUGAGUAGUCACUAUUAGGGGGUUAUUAGUAGUAAUAGUCUUUCUUUCCUUGUUAAUUAGAUUGGAUUUCCAUGUCUUUCUCCAUUUGAACCUCCAGUGGUUGGAACUAAUGGUAGACAUAUCUUGCUUAUGUUAUGAGGUAGUUGGCUUGGAUUUUUGGAUCCUUUUCCCUUUUCCCUUGCUUAACAGUAGUACAACCCGCUUGCGGAUCCUCUUUUUGCACCUUAGUCGUAUCAGCCACAUUCAUAAAAACAUGAAUCAUUUAAUUGUUGCAAUUUUGGCUAACUACCUUCGCAGUGUCGUCGUUUCUGCUGGAUAUUGAAGGAGAUUUGCCACUGAUUUAGGAUAGCUCCUCCUUAACUUGGGGUAUUGAUCUUGAACCAUACAAUGAUUGCAAAAUUUCGAGUCAAAUCAUAGUGAAUUUUCUGGUUUAUGCAAACUUCCUUGCCUGCAACAUUAUUAAUUCUGACAAUCACUUCAUUGGGAGGAAACCAUAUGACAUCCACUUCAACCUUAACCUUGGCAGUGGUAGGUCUGGAUUUGGCUAGAAUGGCCUUAUCUUUGAUAAUAAGGGAACCUAUUGGUUCUAAAUUCUACUCAACCCAUUCUAAAAGUAAUGUCAAUGGAGUUUCGAAAGGGUGACCCAAACAACCGCUAAUGGGUUUCUCGGGUUUCAAAUCAGUAGUCCAAGCAAGAAGUUUCAUUUGCAUUCCACAUAUAGGAUGGAGAUUCCUACCAUAGACAUUCCUAUGAUUUCCCCGCAGGUCAAAGUCUCUGAAGACGUGAUGCAUGUUGCACGCUCUGAUUCUCAUAGCCCCUUUAACUAGAAUAGUUCGAUUAAAAUCAGAAGAAUUUAUAUCAAUAGAGGAUCCGAUGCAAAUACACUUACCUAAUCGGCAUGUCUAUGCGAGUUUGUCAUGCUUGUCCUCAGUGAAAGUAACCACAAGUUCUCCUUUAAUCACCUCAUAUGCUCUGAGGUCUAGACGAACUUUUCUCUUGGAGUUUAUGAUAGAAUGAUUCACCAUGAUAGCCAUAAAAAUAUAGAGGCUUUCCUGUUUUCAGGUGUUGUGAAUAUGAGUCGUAGGGUUGUGAAGAAAAGCAAGUUGAUAACACUGAUGGACUUGGUAGAGGGGGGGAAACUUGGGCAAGGUUAGGAACCAUUGGAAGGAGUGGCGAUGAUGACCUAGGACCGCCCUGUGAAAUUGGGGUCGCAUCUCAGAGGAGACGACCUUUGGAAUUAGUAACGGUUCAAAUUGAUGACUGUAGAGUUAGAGAGAUACGAGAGAAUCUCUCUUAAGAUAUUCUAAGGACUAUUAGCUACCUCAAUUGUGACACAGCACUAAACCCAUU